This 53542-nucleotide long non-coding RNA is filed under the name Cucumis sativus (cucumber). RNAcentral describes it as "long non-coding RNA (CSAT_LNC002752)". The record is from RNAcentral. Lineage: Eukaryota; Viridiplantae; Streptophyta; Magnoliopsida; Cucurbitales; Cucurbitaceae.
GUGACUGGACUCAUAAACACACAGCCAUAGCCCAAGAGCAUGGGCAUCUCUGGCUAAGGAAACAAGCGCAUUCAGAAAAAAGAGAAUGCUUCUGAUACUUUAAGAGUGAGGCAACUGGAGGAGUCUGAAAAGGGAAAGAGUUCUGAUUUGUUAAGGCACAGGCAACAAGAGGACUCAGGAAUGGGAAAAGGUUCCGAUAAGGGAAAGAAUUCUGAUUUGUCAAGACACAGGCAACAAGAGAGGGCUCAGGAAUGGUAAAAGUUUCUGAUAAGGAAAAGAGUUCUGAUUUGUCGACGCAUAGGCAACAAGAGGACUCAGGAAUGGGAAAAGGUUCCGAUAUAUCAAUGCCUAAGCAAUUGGAGUCAGAAAAAGGCGUAAGGUCUAAAACUUCAGCUAAUGAUAUUCAUGAAAAAGAAUCUACUAUACUAGCACCAGAUGAACCAGAAGAUUCAAAGAGCGAAUCAUUUGUCUCUGGAGUUCCUAAAAAUGGAUCCACGAAAACAUGGAAGAGAGAUAGUGACAGAGAGAGUCAUGACAAUCGGGAUAUCCAUCCUAAUCUGUCUCCUGAGGCUCCAAGGAAGAAGAGGCAGCGUUUUGAAGAAAUACCUCGAAGAGGUGAUGGUGAGACAUCAGAAGAGAGCAGACGUAAUUGUAAAAGGCCUUUAACUGAGAUUAAACAGAGACCUCCUGCUUCUCCAAAUGUGAGUGAUCAUACAUCCAGUAAGUCAGUUGAGAUGCCUCCAUAUGCUGAUGUGGAUGGGAUUGGACAUCAUCAACAGUCGGGGUCGACUAUGACUGAGCCAAAACACCAACCUCGGAGCUCCUUACGAUGCUGCACAGAUCAGCUUAACUGAUGACAUUACUAGAAAGUACAACCUCAAUGCUGAGGAGUCUUACCCACGUGGGAACACUGGAUGGUCAAAUAAUGCAAGUCCCAUGUAUGAUAUUGGUUCUAGACAUGUUGAGGAACGUAUCUUGGAUCAAAUGGGAGGACGUGUUGGUCUUAAUUAUAAACCCUACUCUACCGGUGUUGACACGUAUAUGAGGGACUCUGAAAUACGGUCACAUAUUCGUCAUUACGGGCACCCAGAUACUGACAAUUUAAGAAGUAAUUAUCAAGUUGGACCUGAUCCUAGGUAUAGUAGGAUUGGGGCAAUCCCAGCUAGUUAUGGGCAUCUGGGUACAUUUUCUGAACCAUCCCGUUGGAUGAACACUUCAGCAACACAACGAUAUAUGGCCUCGACUCGAUGAGUUAAACCACACUAGAUUGGGAGGAAUGGGUGUUGCACGUCAGAUGAACGGCGGCAGCACUUUCGACCCUAGAGUGCACACAUCCUCUGGUUUCAGGGGCGUGUCACAGGGGUUCGCACCUGGUCCUCAAUACCCGUAUUCGAACCAAAAUUCAGCUGGUUGGCUUAAUGAAUAGUACAAUACACUUAGCUCUUGCUUGGCCGCCUAACUGGGAUUGUAAAGCAUUUUUUGGCGAACCAAACUACAUUACUUGGUGGAUAGGCUGUAGAAUGAUCUUGUAUAUCCAAGUAGAUGGCAAAUUUAACUUUGUAAGUAUGCUAUAUAUCGGUUGUUUCAAGUAAAAGUCUGUUUAUCUCAAAAUCAGCUCAAUUUUCUACCUUUUUGUUCACGUCUAAAUAUAAAACGGAAUAUUAUUCUCGUCCAAGAAAUUUCAAUUUAGUUUCUUUGUGUUGAAGUGUCUCAUUUUAGUUUAUGUAUUUUGAAUAAAUUUUUAAUUUAGUCUCUACUGCAUGUUUUUUUUUCGUUUAUUAAACUCAUUAUAAAAUUAAAAAAUGCAUUUAAAUGAGGGACACUUGCACAAAAAACAAAGCAAGUUAUAAUAAUUAAGUUCACAGUACAUAUUUAUCAUUCACAAAAAUGGUAAAAACAAAGUCCAACUUACAUAUACAAGAUGUAAAAUGGUUACAAAUGUUCUCAUUGAUAUACAUUUGAUACAUCUAAUACACACUUGAUAUACCUAAUAUUUCUUGAUAUAUCUAGUACUCUUAAUACACUUAUAUAUAUUUGAUACUUUUUGAUACCCUCUGAAUCUUGAUUCACUAUGAUACUUUUUUAUACACUCGAUUGAUUAAAUGCACUUGAUAUGCUUGAAGUUCAAUUGAUACAUAUAUUAUUGAUAUAGACUUGUAACUUGAUUGAUAUACUUGAUAAUGAUUCACUUUAUUGAUAUGUUGAUAUACUUUACUAAUAUAUUGUUGAUAUACUUGAUAAUGAUAUAAUGAGUUAUAUUGUUUAUAUAUUUAACACUACUAUAAUGAAUUGCUUUGAAAAAAUGGAAAUCACUCAACAAAUAUAUAUAUUAAUCAACUAAUACAUACAAUAUAAACACAUAACAAUAUAUUUUACAAAACUGAUUCAAAGUAAAACCAAAACAGAACCAACGUGAAAAAAAUAAAACAAAAUUAUUUGAAAUCAAAUUUAACUUUAAAUACACAUAGAAGAAAGUAAAGAACGACUACAAACGAAGUUAAAUUACUUUCAUUAACAACUAUUAUAGCUUAUAUUGCAAUUAAUGUACUAUUGAUAUUUUAAAAUCAAGAUUAAUACAAUAUAAAAGAGAAGACUUCAUAGAUGCAUAAUAGCUGUACGUCCACUACAAAACCAAGGAAAGAAAACAAAACAACAAAAAAAACUUAAGAAAUCUUGGACAGCAAUUGUAAUAUACCAAUGAGGAAGAACAAGGUAGAACAAAUUUUGUAAUCUACAAAUGGGGAAGAACGAGAAUGAACAAAUCGUUUUUUCCGUAUAAGAAAAGAUAAUUAGACAUUAAAAAGAGGAGAAGAAAUAAAUUAUUGAAGGAGGGUUCGACAAUAAUAAAAGAUUUAAAAUGAAGAAUAUUUUAAGAAGUAGUUUCAAAAUUCUAAAACAAUCUAUUAUAUUAUAUUGAUGAAAGACUACCCACUUCAACUUUUCUUUAAAUAAUAUGUCUCAUUCAAUUAAAAUUAUUAGAGCUGUUUAGCGAAUAUGAAUAAAAAUAAAUUCUUUGAUAAAAAUAAAAAUUUGAAAAGUAAAAUUUAUUUAUUGAAAGCCUAAUAAUUAAAAUGAAACAUUCAAAGCACACGACCGACAGUAUAAUAAACUUAAAACGUCAUUGAAACCAAAAAUCCUCUAUUUCGUUCAACUACACUUUUAAUUAAUUUGAGUUGAUGAAUGGAUUAAUUCUUAAACUUCUCCAAAUUUUUUUAAAUGUUUGUUUUAUAAGAUGAAAUAAUAAAAUAAAUAUUUAAACAAUUAUAUAUGUAUGUGUGCAUGUCUAUAUCCUUAUCCGGCUUUAACAAAAAGAAUCAUUUUUUAACGAUUCUACUCUUACUCAAAUUCUAUAUUUACAAUAUCAACCAAAUUUAUUAGAUUUUUUUUAUUUAUAAUCGAUUAUUUAAUUAAUAUAAAAAAUAUAUAAUUAUCAUUAACCAUUUAUAUUUUUUCAAAUUUCCACGUUCACGCGUAACUUAUUAUUUAAGAAGAUCAAUAUGAAAAAUUAUCUAUUUAUUUCUAUAAUUUAAUUUUUAAAAUUUAUAAUGUAUAUUAAUGAUGAAAUUUCAAAAAAAUGUGUAACUUUUCUCUUCUACAACAGUAGAAAGAACUCUCUUCCAUAUUUUUUAUAAACGUUUGAAAUUUCUCUUCUACUUAGGUUUGUUACCUUGAUCUUUUUAUAUAGUUUUUUAUAAAUAAUAAUCACUGUAAACUAAUAACUUUUCUAAGUUGUACGAAUUAUUUACAAAUUUUAGUAUGUAGUACAUUAUUAUCAGCAAUAUAAGAUUAGAGUCUUGAUUUAUCGAGAAAGUAACAACCUUAUUUUGUAACAAUCUUAUUUGUACCUUCUUACCAUCUUAAAAUGUUUUAGAUAGGUAAUUAGUAUCUACCGUUUUAAAAAAAAAGUUGAUAUAAGUUAUUGUUUGUAGACAUUUAUGAUUAGAGGUUUAUGGCUAUUCAAAAUUUGAGAAUGAAGGAGUUUGAAAGUCUUUUUGUGUUGGAGAAAAUUUAAGAUAAUGGUUACAAAAAGUUAAUAUACUUAUAUAAGUUGUUUAUUACUCCUUCCAAAUUCCAUAAAUCUAAAAUUUACAUAACACAUAUUUGUUACUUUUUUUUUUGGAUAUGGCUGAUGAAUUUGAAAUGAGUAAUAAACAAUUUAUAUAAACUUUUUCUAUUAAAAAAUGGUAGAUUACUAAUUACCUAUCUUAAAUUUACUCCAUCAUUUGAGAUUGAACGUUUAUCCUCCGUCCUUAUGAUUACUGUAUUUAAAAAUGUAUUAGUUUAAUGGAGUAAUAUCUUCUUUAAUAAUCUUAUUAUGUUUCUUUAAAAUUGUUGAACGUUCCUCGAUACAAUAUUAUUUUUCUUUAUAUAUAUAUUAUAUAUAUAUAUAUAUAUUAUAUAUAUAUAUUAUUUCGAAAUAAGAAAAAUAUAGAUAAUUUCAAAAGAAAAGAAAGGUCUAAACACGUACAACGCUCGUCUCGGUAAUUAUAUAUAAACAAAGAACUCAAAAUAAUUAUAUAUUUGAAACAAUUGUUGGAAUAUUGUAUAGCCAAAUCUUUUAUAUUUGAAAAAAACACAUAAGUACUUGUUGCCGGAUAUGAUUGUUUCAAAUACGUGAAAAAAAUAGUUGGAAUAUUGUAUAGCCAAAUCUAAACUAUUGUGUAAAAAAAAAAGCAAAAUAUAAAAAAUCUUUAAAAAAUUGUUUAGAUUUGGGUAGCCAAAUUUAAACGAUCAAAUCUAAACAAUUGUGUUCCAAAUAUAAACGAUCAUGUAUCAAAUCUAAACGAUCAUUUUCUAAAUAUAAAUGGCCGUUUUCAAAUAUAAACAAGUACUACAAAAUAUUAAAAAAAUCGAUGAGAUUUGACAACCCAAAUUUAAACAAUCAAGCUAAUGAAUCGUGUUCCAAAAAAUUAGACUAAUAAGAACUUCAUGUUUUAACUAUAAAAUAAGUUUUGUAGCUUUUUCUCAAUGCCAUCUUACACUAUAAGAAAUUUGAAAUUCAAAUGACACAAGUGAAUAGAAAAAUUGGGUUGGGGAAAAUGUGUAACUAAUGCCAAAUAGACGCGUUUUUUUAAUAGGAAAACCUGACACAUUUUAAGCGUCAAUAAACCAUGACAUCUUUCUUGUCAUCGUUUCCUUCAACUUUUUAUUAAUUUAUCUUUUCAUUAAAUUAAAACGGGGGUAAGUAAAAUAAACCCCAACUUAAAGUUCACCGUCUCGCAAAAUCAGCCACACCAUCCCAUUUCCUUACCUCUUCACAUGGAAGCCGCCCUAAUAUCCAUUAGCCAAGAUCAACAAAUUCAUUGUUACUAUGUCCUUCCACCCCCAAUUUCAUAGCUUCAUCAAGUUUAUCGGUAUGUUUUCUUUUCUUUCUUUUCCUUAUCGUCAUUCUCACCCAUCACCCACCAUCGUACUCUCCUUUUCCAUCUUUGUUGCCCUUGAAUUUAGUAUAUUACACAAAAGCAUGCAUGCUCCCUUCAAUUCACUUCCACAACAACCUUUAUUAUUAGUAUGUGUUCCCACAAGAUUUUUGGAGAAAUUUGAUUCGUGGAAUUGAAGUUGUAUUGAUUUGAUGCGAUGUGGUUCGAUCUUUAGAAUCUGAUCAUUUGAUUCUCUAUUGGUUGGAUGCUUAUGCUUGAUUUGUGUACACUUCAUUAAAGACUCACGAAUAUAAACCACUAAAUAUUAGUGCUUCUAUAAUGAACAACUUGUUUAUGACCCAACCAAUAAAUAGAAACCCCUUCCAUGUCAUAGAAAGGGUAAGACCCUUUGUUCAAAUACUCGGAGAAACCAUUUAAGGGAACACUCGUCUACUUAUCCUAAAGUCAAGAAGAAGUGAAUUUCAUCUUAUGUGAUCAGCUCCCCAUUCAAUUUUGUCCCCAAAAUGAUAAGCAUAUUGGAUUGAUAAUUUGGUUACUCUUACCUGUACAAAUCAAAUAACAAUUCAUUGUAAACAAGAGAGUUCAUAAUACACUCAAAAUUAAGACUAAGUUACGUAAGUCAUGAUACGAUUGUCGGUUAAGAAAUAAAAAGAAAGAAGUAUUAAAGUAAGAGAGAGAAAGGAAAAUGUGUUGGGAAGAAAAAACAAAAUAGUGAAUAAUGAAGCAAGAGUAAAUAUAUAUAUAUAAAAAGAACAAGUUGGUGAAGAGUGAAUGAAGGAGAUAAGAAAAUGAAAUGAAACCAAAUAUAGUGUAUUUUGGAAAUGUGUAAUAUUUAUUUCUUUGACAACCUGUGAUGUGUAAGAAAUUGAAUAGUAGAGAUCACUAUUAUUUUGAAAAUAAGAAAUGUAAUAUUAAUAUUAGUUUGAAUUUGAUAAAUCAUAUUCAUCUCCUCCAUCUCUCUCUCUCUCUAUCAUUAAAUAUGCAGAAACCAACGAAAUUUCAACUAAGAUGACGGCUCACCAUUUAACACUACCCUCAAUCUCUGCCGUACCCACCGUCACCGGUAACCAAAUGAACCACGGCGAGCUCUACAGACUAGCCAAGGUAUGGACAAUUGCCAUUCCUCUCAUUUCUUACUCCUACUAUUUCACUUCCAAGAUCCCCAAGGGAAUCCCAAGGCUCCUUGCUCUCUUCCCCGUUCUCUUCAUCUUCCUCCUCCUUCCUCUCAAUCUCCGCUCCUUCCAUCUCUGCGGUCCCACCGCCUUCUUCCUCUCCUGGCUCGGCAAUUUCAAACUCCUCCUCUUUGCCUUCGAUCUGGGUCCUCUGUUCUCUUCCCCUCUCCCGAGCUUCCUCCACUUCGCCGCCACGCUCUGCCUUCCCAUCAAGAUCAACAACAACAAAUCCCAGAUCCAUAGAAUUGGAAAUCCGAUGGUUCUUUGUUUGAAGGUCUUGCUUCUAGCGAUUGUCGUUCGGCUCUACGAUUACCAGAAUCGUAUGCAUCCGGCCAUCGUUUCCGUUCUGUAUUUUCUCCAUUUGUACUUAGGCGUGGAGAUCGUGCUCGCUUUGUGUUCUCUUCCGGCGAAGGCCAUCUUCGGAGCUCCGAUGGAACCACAGUUCGACGAACCCUAUCUCUCGAGUUCGCUUCAGGAUUUCUGGAGCCGUCGAUGGAACCUGAUGGUUCCGAGUAUUCUAAGGCCGGCCGUAUACGAUCCCACCCGUAUGAUAACUUCCCGCAUUUUUGGGCGUAGGCGGGCCCAAUUGGUGGGUAUGGUAGCUACGUUCGUUGUGUCCGGCUUUAUGCACGAGCUCAUCUUUUAUUACUUCACCCGUGCCCCUCCCACCUGGGAAGUCUCCUCUUUCUUCGUUCUUCACGGCUUCUGCAUGGCCGCUGAGGUCGCCGCUAAGGCCGCCCUGGCUUGGCCCUCCAACAUCCACCCCAUGCUCUCUCGGCCCACUUGUUUGUUCUUUUUGAUGGUCACCGCACGCUGGCUCAUGCUCCCUCCAUUGAUUCGAAAUGGUGUCGUUGACGAGGCGAUUGGUGAGUAUUAUGCUACUGCCCACUUCUUCAAGAGUAAAUUUAUUUUGUUUCUUUAAUGUUAGGAGAUGGUUUAAGGAUGGAUUGAAGUUGUAGAUCCUACAAAGUUGGAUAGUUUGAUCCUGAAAUAAUACCCAAUAUUAUGUUUUUUCUUUUUUCUUUUUAGUCGUGACAUUAAAUACCUCUAGUGGUUUUCCAACAAAAUAUUUGUAGAUUUUUCUUCUUUUCCAUUUUUUUAAAUGUGAUAUCACGUUUAAAUAACACAUUACUCGAUUAUUUGGUUUUGGAUUUUGUAGACACCUCAUGGCAGAGAAUAACAUUGCUAAAAACUUGUGUUUGUUUGGGCAUGAGAAUGCUAAUUAGAAUCCAAAAGUUAAAACAAAUUAUGUUUGUAUUAGUUUUAUGAAAUUAAUUUUGGUAAACCAUAAUUUUAGUAGAUUAACUAUUUAAUUAAAGUGCUUUUAGUUGGAUAAAUUAAUUAUAAGUAUGGUGCAAACAAAGUGAACAUUUUAAAUAAUAACAAAAUAUCGUAACUGUUUACAGAAUAGAUUCAUAGAAUUUUCUAUAAAAUAAAUAAGAAAAUAAGAAAUUAUAAAAGUAGAAAAAAUCUUCUAAAAUCUCUACUAUCUCCAACUUUCUUAGAAAUUCCAUCCAUACGUGUAUAUCUCAAACACCCACCAAAUACCCAUAUUUAUAAGCACUUUGACAAUCAUAUAUAAGAUUAUAUAGAAACUAAAAGCGAGUAUCUUGAAGAUGUGGAGGAAGUGACACAUGUUAUUUUGACUCUAAACAUAAUAAGCAUCUAUUUAAUAAUUUCUAUAAUACUCUUCUUAGAUUGCUCAUUCAACCUAUGAAAUAUAUCUCGUUAAAAUCUUACUGCAAAAGUUUCAAUAGAAAGAAAAUCCUAGUGAAAGGAAAAAACUAUAUACUUCAUUUACUUUAUGUACACUUAAGUUAACUUGGAAAGGGAGUUCGAUUUAAGAAAAGAUACGCAAUCAAUUGGGUUAAGUACUAACAAAGAUAGUAAGUAAAAGUUUAGGGGGCGAACCAAAGAGAAUUUAUGCAAAUCUUGAUAAAAAAAGAAUACCAGAAUUCUAACAUAUAAAGGGGCGAUUUUGUUGCGACAAACCAAGAAAGUAGAGUAAAGCAAGUAAUUGUUUUUGUAUUUUUAGAACAAUAGGGCCCAAGAAAGAAAUAAAACCUCUGUGAACAAAGUUAAAAUGAGAAUGGUUCAUUCUAGUACUCUUUCCAUCAUAGAACAAAUAAAUUAAUUCCAAUCUAAUUCAAUCUACAACUAAUUAGUUCAAGAAUAAAACUAAUCAACAUUUAUUAAUGAAUCAAGAACCAAAUCUAAUUCAUACUAAAUUCAAAGAUAUCAUUUUCAUCUUAGUUGUUUAAUUUUCAUGAAAUUUAAAAAAAAAAUAGAAAUUAAAGGAAAUUCACCCAUCAUGGAUGAUAAAGCCAAUCAAACAAAAAUUAAUUAUAAAAACAAGAUUGGAAUUCAACAAAAAAUUGAAAUUAAUUAAUUAGAAAGCAUUUGGACAAGAUUCUCAAUAAAGAAUUUCUAGAACUAAACUUCCUAAAGAAAAGUGCAUUAGUUCUUCAUCAUUCUCAAAGUAGUUUCAAGAAGAAAUUCAAAGAAAGGAGACAUUUCAUGGAAGAAUUUGAGAAAGAAAUUUAUUAAUCUUAAGAGACGUUUUACAAGAUAAUUGACCCAUGCUUUUGAUAAAUUUGAAAAAUAACGAGUGAAUUAUGAAAAUACAAGAGAAAAAUGGCUUAAAUAGGCCAUUCAGGUUGGGUUGCUUGGUGGGAGGAGUGCACAAGUGCUAACGAACGCUGUAAGUUUGUAGCAUCGAGAAGUUGUAGUUGGGCAUCGAGACAUUGUGCUUGUCACCUUCGAUGUUGCGACUUUAUAAUGGUCAUCACGAGACUAGAUUUUUGUAGCUAUUGCCUUUCUGCACCGAGCUUCGACAUUGCAACACUGAGGACAAUGUCACUUUAACUUUAAUUACGAAUAUACCACUAUUCUUGGCUUGGUUAGUUUGUGCUCAUUUUAGCUUUAAAUUAUGUGAUUCUUAUUGUAUUUGACUUUUGACUCCAAUGAUUAUUAUUUUCUAUAAAACAAGAGAACUAAUGAAUAAGUGUUAUGGUCGCGAGAGUCUUAAUCUAGAAAUCUAGCUCAUUUAUAAGGCUAUCAACUACAAAAAUACACUUAUUCUUUUUUACAUAAUAUAACAAAAGUUUUAAUUGAACAUAGAAGUUAUAUAAAUUUUACUAUAUUUUUUAAAUAGUUUUAAAUUUUACAAUAUUUUUUAAAUAGUUUUAACUUACCAUUUUAAAAAAUGUUUGAGUUGAUGUUAAACUCUAGUUUUAUUUUUAAAAGUAUAUUCACGAAGAAGCGCUUUCGUUAGAAAUUUUUUCUACGGAUUGGUGACCAAACAGGAUGUUUCUUAAAUGAGAUGACAAAAUAUAUUAAUUACUUUCUGUUUAAAUAGAGUUUAUACAUAUGUGUCACAUGUCUUUCCUUCUUUAAAUACAAGUUUAUGGGCCACCUCCACCGACCGUUAUAGCUUUAUACAGAGAUAAUUUAAUGGGAAGUUUUAGUAUAAAGUUUUAAUGUACUAAACAUGCAAAGUUUAGGCAAGAAAUAAUUAUUAUUUUCUCUAUAUAAAAUUGGUCUAAACAAUUCUCAAGCAAAAGUAAAAUAGUAUGAUGAACAUUAUGGGAAAGAAAUGUGGUUGUGUAGGGUUUAAUAAGAUUUAUGUCUUACGUACAUUCAUUAUUAUCUUAUGGUAAAGUCCUUUGUCAAUCUUUUUGAGUAAAUAAAGCCAUCAAACCCUAGAACCUAGCUAGUUGUAGAUUGAAAUCAAUUAUUUCCCCUAUCUACUCCCAUACAAAAAUAAUUCACAUAUAAUUAAACUAGCAUUAACUUCAGCUUUCGAAAAUAUAGUUACUGCCUUAAAAGUUUAAUUGGAAAAAAUAAAUUAGUUUCAAAAUGUUAUGCAACUUUAUCUUUAAAUUUUUAUUUUUAUUUAAAGAGUUAGUUGCAUAAAUGACAAAAAAAAAAAAAAAAAGAAAAAAAAAAAAAGAAGAAGAAGAAAGAAAACUAAUAUAAUGGCAUGUAUAGCAUAUAUAUAUAUAUGCACAAGGAUAAAAUAAUUGCAUAUAUAACACAAAAAAUAGUAAAAGACUUAUACUCGUGUCCAACCAUCAUUUUUUAUGAUUCUAGAUGAAUUUCUCAAAUUAAAAACUAUCCCUAAUAGAAUUUAUAAGUGAUAAUAACUACCACUUAUGGCAUCUAUCAGUGAUAACAUAUUCUAUCACUAAUAGCAUACCACUAAUAACAUUAUUAGUGGUAGAUGUUAAAUCAUCGAUAGCUAAAUGAUUAUUUUACACACUUCUUAUAGAUUUUUUUACGUUAAAAUUAAAGCUAUUACUAAUAACUACAAUGAGUAAAUAUCAUUGGUAGUUGUUAUUGGUUAUCACUGAUAACUACUAUUAGUGAUAAAUUGUCACCAUUACAAGUAAUUUUUUUUCCAGUUUUCUUCAAUUGAAAAGCUACCAUUAAUAGCAAUUGAUAGCUAUUAUAUGUUGCUAUAACUGAUAGUUGCUAUGAAUGAUAUCUUUUAAUUUGAGAAAUAUGUUAUUAGUUGAUAUAAUUGAUAAUAGCGCUAUUAGCGAUAGCUUUUAUCAAUGAUAGUCACUGAAGGGUAGGGUAACUUUUAAUUUUAGAAAUAUGGUAUCAGUUGCUAUAGUUUGUUGCUAUCGCUGAUAACUGCUAUUAGUGAUAGCCUUCGAUUUAAGAAAUGUGAUAUCAAUUGUUAUCAUUGAUGUCUUCUAUCAACGAUGUUGCUAUCAAUUGAUAUUUCUAAUAGCUAGCUAUUAUAAGAUUUUUUUUUAUAUUGCUAUCAAUGUGAAAUGAUAUCACUAACAUUAUCUAUUAAUGUUUUUAUUAGAGGGAUAUCGUUGAUAGCAACUAUAAGCAAUAUCAUUAUAAGAAUAAUAUUUUUUAUAAAAAAUAUCUCCUUAGUAAACAUAUUGUUCGCAUGAAAUUUUCGGAGAAAUUUGAUUAGUGAAGUUGAACUUGAGUUGAUGUUGUAUUUUUGUUGAUUUGAUGUGAUGUUGUUCGAUCUCUAGAAUUUGAUCAUCUGAUUCUCUCUCGGUUGGAUGCUUAUGCCUGAUUUGAGGAAGCGGAGCACAUGAUGUUCUUGAAGUAGGAGUCUUGGAAGAAAGCUUGUAUGUUCAAAGAAGCUUCAAUAUUCGAAGGAAGUUGGAGUCUUAGAAGAGAGCUUGUGGAAGUUGGAGUCUUGAAAGAAAUUUUUUAUCUUCAAAUGAGCUUUAAUAUUCGAGAAUGGUUGAAUUAAGGAGUUAGGAAGCCUUGUAGCUCUUGGAAGAAUUCUUUUAAAAAAAUUUCAACCCCUACAAAUAAAGAGAACUCUUCUAUUUAUAGAGUUUUUUGGUGGGCUUUAUGGGCUUGAGUCUAGUUGGUCCAUGGACCAGGUCUAUAGGCUCAACCAUAUGAAUUUGGAUCAAAUUUAACAUUUGGGCUCAAUUAUGCUUAUUUUUGGGUUCAAUUGAACUUAGCCCAAGUAAAUAAUAUUUAAUUGAACAAAAAUAAUUAACUUGAUCAAACGGUUAGGAUGAAAAUAUGUGGCAUUAUCAGAAUUGACCAAUUUAUGUUUUCAAUUUUAAUUUAGGACACGUGCCAAUUAUUCUAAUUAGUCUCAAAUUUAAUUAUUUGUACUUUCAUCAUUAAUUUAGUAAAUGAUGUGACAAUUUGUGAUUAGUCUAAAAAUAUUCUAUUCAACACAUAUUAAUUUUGAAUUGAUGAGGUUUAAUUAGGUUAUCAAUGGAUAGUUUUGAUAGCUACUAUCAAUUAUAUUCUUUUAUUGUAAGGAUAUCAUCGAUAGCAUCUAUAAGUAAUAUCCCUAAUAGGCUUACUAUAUACCAAUGAUAUCAAGGUAAUGCUACUAUAAAAUGAUAUUGUGGUUGUUUGUUUUUAGCAUAAAUGGACGAAGACAAGAGAUCAAAUUAGCAUGCUAUUGGUAAUAACUUUGAAUCACUAGAUAACAUACUAUCCAUAUGAUAACUUCUAACGGAAAUUGAUAUGGUUGCAACUUUUUUAAAAAAAAUAAAUUAUUGAUUUUAGGUUAUGCUAUUAACAUUUCUAUCCUUUAGAAAUUCAAGUUAUAGUGAUAAAUUCAUGAAUAGCAUAUUGACAUAUUAGACAUGAUGUCAUGUAUAGAAGUCAUUACUGGUAGCAUGAGAGGAAGAAAAUUAAAGGACAAAAUUGACAUUUUAAAAAUUGUUAGUUUUACAAAUUUUGUUGCUAUAGAUUAUAUUUAUUUUCUAAUUUGUGCUAUUAGGUGGUGCAAUUUUCAACUUAUUUUAAUUUGGUAGGUUUUAAGAUUUAUGCUUAAAUUUUGAUUUUUUUUAAUUGAAUAUUUACUUUUUUCAUGUAGCAUCGUAUCUAUUAAUUAGUUUAAAUGAAUUAUUAUCAAUUAUAUCUUGCUAUUUUUAUCACUAUUAAUUACAAUUUAAUUUAAAAUUUAUGUAAUGUCCUAAUAGUUUCAUACCAAUAAACAAAAACUCUUCUCGUGCCAUAAAGAAGGUAGGACUCUUUGUUCAAGUCUUAGAGACACCAUUUAAGGGAACACCCAUCUAUUUACCCUAAAGUUGAGAAGGAGUGAAUUUCAUCUUGUGUAAUUAUGUUCUCAGCUCCCCACUCGGUCUUGUCCCCAAAAUGCUUAUUGAGUCGAUGAUCUGGCCACUCUCACUCUUACAAAUCAAAUGAUUAUCUCUCGUAAACAGGAAUGCAUAAUACACUAAGGAUUAAGACUAAGUUACCUAGGUUAUCCUAAUGAAAUAGAAACCUAACUAGUUAAUGGAGUUACAUCUAGUGGUUGCUAUUUUGCGGUUCGGUCUUAUACAAUCUCAUUGCAUAGGAUAUCCUUACUCGCAUGUCAACUACAUGAACGUGUUGGAUCAUUAUGUUUGUAUCAAAUACAAAGUGAGUUGUAUCCAUAGUGUUACCAGGAUAAGGUACUCAACUUUAUCCCUAUACUAUAGACCCUUUAAGUUGAUCUCGAACAUUUAUCCAUGUAUGUCUCUACAUACUAUUCAAGACUCAUUAAACAACUUAGGAUGUUAGUUUAUUAGAUUUGGGUUAUUAAGACAAAAUUAAUAAUAUAAUCAAUAAUAAUUAUUAAACAGUCAAUGGAUUAUAUUUAUAAUCUACGAGUUUUAGGACAUAAAUCUCAACAGAUUUAGCUGUAGAGAUGUUCAAUCAAUGGGUAUUGAGUAAUCAAUAGAUCCUAUUGUGUAGAAUUAGUAACACUUACUCAACCAGCUUCUAAUUAAGGCGUGCUCCUCUCGAAGUCAUUAAACGCCACACAUGGUCACCUUUCGAGACCCAUAUGACUAAGCGAGAUUACGCAAGAUAUAUCUAGAAUGAUUCAUUUAUAAACCUUAUAGGUCUUCACGAUUAAGAACAACAACCUCUCAGUGCCUAAUGUCCACACUUGUUCGCCUUUUGGGAUACAAAUGUUGGAAGUUAUCUUGCAAGGUAGAGUUUGUUUCCAAACUCCUCUUUACUCGCGUUAGCCUUAUCCUUGCUAUUUGCCCUCUUAGAUAGUUAGUGAUAUACGUUGGUCAAGCGAUAAACAGAGUUCAACUAACGCGACAAGAAUUAUAAAUUGAACUUAUUAUCAAGAACUUAUCACAAACCUAGCUACCAAUAACACAUUGACAAGUGAAAAGUCAAGAAAUGAUGGAUUGAAAAGGUAUAAACAUGUAAUAUAUAUAAAGAAUGUAGGCCUUCGACCAUCAUACAAUAUGAACAGAAUAAAUAUUAUACAAAUAAUACAGAAAGGGAAGACAGAAGAAUGAGAAUGAAUAAAAGUUAUGGAAAUGGGAAAUGGAACCUUCACCACUCAGACUCUAAGCUCUCACUUACAGUAUGGUUGGAGAAGAAGAAGAUAAUCCUUACAGACGAUGAAAAGGUUACUCCUUUUCGCCUUUUCCUCUCUCUAGGGUUUGGCCUAUCUAGGCACAAGAAAUGGCUCAUUCAAGGGUGUCUUCCUUGGUGAAGGAGUUCUUUUAUAGGCAACUUUUAGCGGAAAACUUCUACUCUCCUAAGCAUGUUAGCACUGCACGUCAAAAGGUAUUUGUAGAAAGUCACAUCAUCUCCAACUGCCAUUCUUGUCUUCUAGUAAAUCGAUUCUCUGGUUGUGAUUUUGUCUUUUCGCCUAUUUUUCUGGCGAUAGACUCUCUGAUUUGCUAACUUCUUCUAUUGUUCAUAGACCUGCAUUUAGACACUGAAAAUCGCGUAAAAUAGGCAUAACACUUAUGUAAAGUGUAUUUCUGAAUAAUUAUGAAUUUACAAUACAAUCUAUGUGUUUUGGCCUCGAUAUUCUAUAUAAGAGACUAUAAUAAUGUGUAUUUCUACACGUUAUUAAAGUCAUUCGCUAUGCCAUGAAGUAUGUGAAUGACCAGCUAAGGGCCAUUACAGAGUGGCCAAAGUUAGCACUGCAGGAUGAAAUCGCAACCCACCAUGAAGUGUUAGACAGUUGCAGGCUGCACUUGAGCUAAGUAGGUUGGAUAGGGCGCGCUGCAUGCAGAUAUUGAUGUGCAAUUUGGCUUAUAUGAAAGCUUUCUUUCACGUACUCAAAGACGUGAAGAUGGAUUACUGCACAGUCAUUCUACGAGAAGACGUUUGAUUGUUUGUCCAAUUCCACCGCCUGUCCUUAUCUUUUUUUGUGUUUCUUUAUGUUCAAUGUAUUUGACUUUAGUUUGUAAUUCACUUUCACCAAACUUUUUUAGUUUUAAUUUCUUUUCGUAUUAAUGAAGUUUUGUUUCACGUAAUUCACAUUUCCAUUUGUUAUUUCAAUGUUUACGGGGUGCGUGUCACAGUAAAAAAAGGCAAUUUAAUGAAACAUAAUGACUAACUUCAAUAAUGUUGAAUACGAAUGUUGUCGUAAUAGAAAUUAAGGCAAAUUGCUACACGUAACUUGGGACAAUUUGGUAUAUAAAAAACAUGCAAUUUGUGUAUUGGAUUAAGAAUAUGAAUUUGAACAAAAAAAAAAAAAAAAAACAUUCACAACAUACCCACAUAACCCUUCCCCCAAACACAUCUUAUCAUAGCCCUAUCAUAAUCAUACUCACAUUACCCUUCCCCUAAACACAUCUUAUCAUAAGACUAUCAUAACCCUACCCACAUAAUCCUUCCUCCAAACACAUCUUAUUAUAACACUAACUUAAUAAACAUUUUUCUCAAACACAUCAUAUCAUAACACUAGUUUUUUCAUAACCCUGACCCUUCCAUAAACCAAUCAUUCCUCCAAAUGACCCAUUAGUUUCUAUAAAAAAUCAGUUAUGUAUUUUGACUGAGAAAGAAAUAAGUGGCUUCAACUUCGAGAAAGUAGUUGAGUUGACCAAAGUCUUUGAGAGCAAAUUUGUUGUUCAAGGAAUUUAUAAAAGCAUUUAUUUGUUUGGUGGAGUUGUCCAUAAUAAUAAGAUCAUAAACAUAAAUCAAUAUAUAUAGCAAUAUAUAUAGCAACAUGAAUUAUCAGUCAUGUGAACUAAUUAAGAUGAAUCAGCUUUAGAUGUUCUAAAGUCAAGUAAGUUUAAAGUGAAGCUUAGUUAUUUCUCAUAUCACGCACUACGGGCUUGUUUUAACCUAUAUAAGCCUUCUUUAGGUGACAAGUAGGUUGACUACUAUACACCUCAAAACUAAAAGGUUGUUCCAUAAAAUCGUUAAUUCUCUAAGAGGUUUCUAGAAGAAAUGCAUUGUUGACAUCAAGUUGUCUUAUCGACCAACCCUUCAUAACUACUAUUGUUAAGAGCAUACAUAUAGUCAUAGGUUUGACUACAGGACUAAAUGUUUCAUUAUAAUCAAAAUUAGGUAUCUAAUAAAACCCUUUUUCAACCACAUGCUUUAUAUCUAGCAAUGGGACCAUCAGAGUUCCUUUUAAUCUUAAACACUAACUUAUAACCAAUAAUUUUAUGACUUAAAGGUCUAGAAGCUAAUAUAUCCAGGUAUUAUUCAGGUGUAAGGCAUUAAACUCAUCUUCGGUAGCUUUCUUCAAAUAAUGAUGUCUUAAAGCUUCUUUCUUACUACAUGGUUCAUGUUGAAUGUAAUUAACUAACAAGACUUUAGGUUUAAAGAUUUCGCUCUUACCUCGAGUAAUCAUUGGAUGAGUAAAGACAACUAUUGUGUUUUUGUUUAUGGAAGCACUGUUAGCAACAGGCAGUGCAUCUGUGGAUAGAGUAUGAGAGGUAGUUUCUUCUCAAUAUCACCAUUCUUAGUAUCAGUUUAGGAGCUACUUUGAGUAUACGUCUCAAAAGGGUGCAUAUUAGUAUGAUUUAGAUGAUCAGUAGUAUAAAAAAAUGUGUAAAGAAAAUGCUUUUCUGCGUUAUGGUUCAUAUUUGGGUUGCUGAGAAUGGUGUUAACUGGUGGACAGUUGACAAUUGUUUGAGUUUUAGAAUAAAAGUAGUUGGAGAGACAGACAUAUAGAAAUGACUUGUUCUUAAAAAAGAACAUGUCUAUAUAUAUAUAUAUGCGACCACCAGGGGAUUGACAUUUAUAACCUUUUUAAGAGGUACUAUAUCCUUGGAAUGUGCAUGGUUAUGAUCUAAAGGACAAUUGUGAGAUUAAUAGAUCCUUAAGUAUGGAUAUCAUUUGCAGCCAAAGGUUCUAAGUAAUGGAUGUUUAGAUUUUUUAUCAAAUAAAUUCUCUAGAGGGACUAAUGUUUUGUAGGACAAGUGUGGGAAGCCAAUUGAUAAGGUAUACAUUGGUAGAAAAGGCUUCAUGUCAGAUGUUUAGGGGAAGAGUGGCUUGGGAUAGGAGAGUAAGUCUCAUAUCCAUGAUAUGUCUAUGUUUCCUUUCCAUUAUCCCAUUUUGUUGUGAGGUAUGUGGGCAUGUUAUGCGAUGUUCAAUUCCAUGUUGAUGAAGUAAGGGAAUGAAUGGUUUAAAUUCAUUUCCUCCAUCAGUUUGAAGGGAUAGGAUUGGUUGGUUUAGAUAGUUUUCAACAUAUGUGUUUUAAAUUUCUGAAAAGCACGAAAGGGAUCAGUCUUGAAGUUCAUAAAAUAGAUCCAUGUGUGUCUACUAAAGGCGUCUAUACAAAGCGGACAUAAUAUUGAAAUCCAUUUUUUAGAUGUGUUAAAUGUAGAACCCCACAAAUCACAUACAAUGAGUUGUAAUGAAUGUUGGAAAGGGAGGAGCAUGAUGUUUUCCUAUUGCACAAGCUUCACAAAAUUUCAAUUUAUUAACAUUCAUAGUAGGAUGCAUAUAUACCAUUUUUCAAGACAUUUUUAACAACAAAUAGGUGGGGUUGGCUUAGUCUUUUGUACCGGUCAUCAAAAGAGAUAAUGAAAUUGUAAACACUCAAGGCUUCAGGUAUUGGAAGGGAUGGAUGGAUGUUAAACUUGUAUAGCCCAUCACUGAGUACCCCUUGGAGGAGUUUCCACUAGUUCCCUUGUCCUUCACAUAACAAACAUUUAGAUUAAAUCAAAGAAAACAUUAGUGUUUAAAAAAUUGAGAUACAUUAUUUAUGAGAUUCUUUUUAAUGGAUGGAACAUGUAGAAGGUCGUUAAGGCCAAGAGAUUUCAAAGAUUCUUUGUAAUAGUGCAAAAUUGGCAUUGAGGUAGAUUCACUAUGAGCUUUUUGAGUGAGUAAACGUGAGGUAACCUCUUGAAUAAAGGAAGAAUCAGUUCGGGCAAAAAUCACAGAAAUCAUGGACUGAUAUCAAAUCCUAAACUAGCAAGUAUGUAUAAAAUAUGAUAGGCUGUGAAAAUUGGUUUAUCAAUAGAGGUAAGGGAAUCAACGCAUUGUUAAAUUUUCAUGAAAUACUCCUUUAAGGUCAAGCCUCCCUUUUUUAGAUUAUGGAGUUUUCUUUUCUUGAUUUGCAUUGUCUUUUGGCUAAAUAUCGUUAAGAAAAAAUACUUUGAAGAGUUUGCAGGCCAGAUUUUCCUGGCUGAGGUGCAGUGUAGCAUUUGGUUGAGUAUUUUCUCGCCCACGGAGCUAAGGAACCAAGAUGAAAUCAGAUGGUCCUGACGUUUCCAUUUUGUAUAUUUGAGAUUUAAAGUUUGCGCAGUUUAUGAUGAAGAGAUAUUGGUGGUGGUGGUGUUGUUGCGGUUUGUAUUUGGAUGAAUUUCGAAGGUGGUUCUGUCGAUGGAUCAACAAAAUUCUCAAGAUCAUAGGCUUACAAUACUGUGAGAAUUUGAAAUUUCCAAAGGAUGAAAUUGUCAUCUCCUAAUUUUACCACAAAGAUUUUGUUUCCAGAACUGAAGGUCUAUGAGAUGGAUGAUGAUCCACUAGUUGAGUCGGCACUGAGAAGAGAUGAAGAGGUGUUCAUCCUUGAGUGAAUAAAAGAACUCAUUUGAAAAACAUAGCUAUGGAGCGGCCAAAGCUGGAAAAAAAAAAAGGAAUAAAGUCAUGAGACUAGACAUCAUUUCUCUGAUCACAUGUUAAAAUUGUAAAGAGAAAACUUUGGUUUUCCUUCUUAUUAUUUGAUAUUGGUAACAAUCAUCAUAUAAUUAGAAAAGCAGGGAUGAAGACUUCUUACAAUGAACACACCCACAGUAGACUAAUUAAUACAAGGUAAAGACAAAUUUUGGAAGAUGAGGCUUUGUGUAUAAUGGGUCAUUGAUACAAUGAGAAAAAAUGAAGAAUGAGAAAGAGAACCUUAAUGGUAUAUCUUAACAAUGGCCAUUCUUUUUUUAAAAAAAGCACGAUGCCCUUCGAAUUUGUAAUUGGAAUAUAUAUGAUCAAUAGAUGGAUGACACCUUGCAACUACGAAGGUAUUAAAGAAAAUGACUAAAUUAUAAAAAUUGUACAUUACUAGUUGUGUAAAAAAAAUGUUUCUCAAGUUUCAAAAGUAUAAAAAUAUCCUUUACUUUUAAAUUGAGUUAAAAAAUAGUGUUUUGAUUAAUUUCAAAUCAAAAUCAGUAAACUUUAUUCAAUUUAAAUCGGUCCCAUAUUAACCUUUACGGGCAUUUUUUAACUUUUAAAAACUUUUAAAAUUGAUUUUUGUCCUGAGAAAUUAAUGAUUUUUUUUUUCAAAUACCAACUUUUUUAACUUUAUUGAGGUAAGGGUAUUUUUUAAUUUUUCUAAAUUUAAUGAUAUUUUUUAAACGCUUCAAAUGACUGACAUUUUAUAUGAUGUUAUUUGAAAAAAAAUGGAUGUUUUGAAAAAAAAAAUUGGAAAAUGGAUGUUUUCAAAACUAUUUGGGUGAGAGGUGGAUUUUUUUGUCAUUUUGUGUGGUGGGUCCUAUUUUUAUAAAUUAUUAUUCUUUUUUAAAUAUUAUUGUUGUUAUAUUAUUAUUGUUGUUAUUAUUAUUAUUAUUAUUAUUCUUAUUAUUAUUAUUAUUAUUAUUAUUAUUAUUUAUUAUUAUUAUUAUUAUUAUUAUUAUUAUUAUUAUUAUUAUUAUUAUUAUUAUUAUUAUUAUUAUUAUUAUUAUUAUUAUUAUUAUUAUUAUUAUUAUUAUUAUUAUUAUUAUUAUUAUUAUUAUUAUUAUUAUUAUUAUUAUUAUUAUUAUUAUUAUUAUUAUAUAUUAUUAUUAUUAUUAUUAUUAUUAUUAUUAUUAUUAUUAUUAUUAUUAUUAUUAUUAUUAUUAUUAUUAUUAUUAUUAUUAUUAUUAUUAUUAUUAUUAUUAUUAUUAUUAUUAUUAUUAUUAUUAUUAUUAUUAUUAUUAUUAUUAUUAUUAUUAUUAUUAUUAUUAUUAUUAUUAUUAUUAUUAUUAUUAUUAUUAUUAUUAUUAUUAUUAUUAUUAUUAUUAUUAUUAUUAUUAUUAUUAUUAUUAUUAUUAUUAUUUAUUAUUAUUAUUAUUAUUAUUAUUAUUAUUAUUAUUAUUAUUAUUAUUAUUAUUAUUAUUAUUAUUAUUAUUAUUAUUAUUAUUAUUAUUAUUAUUAUUAUUAUUAUUAUUAUUAUAUUAUUAUUUAUUAUUAUUAUUAUUAUUAUUAUUAUUAUUAUUAUUAUUAUUAUUAUUAUUAUUAUUAUUAUUAUUAUUAUUAUUAUUAUUAUUAUUAUUAUUAUUAUUAUUAUUAUUAUUAUUAUUAUUAUUAUUAUUAUUAUUAUUAUUAUUAUUAUUAUUAUUAUUAUUAUUAUUAUUAUUAUUAUUAUUAUUAUUAUUAUUAUUAUUAUUAUUAUUAUUAUUAUUAUUAUUAUUAUUAUUAUUAUUAUUAUUAUUAUUAUUAUUAUUAUUAUUAUUAUUAUUAUUAUUAUUAUUAUUAUUAUUAUUAUUAUUAUUAUUAUUAUUAUUAUUAUUAUUAUUAUUAUUAUUAUUAUUAUUAUUAUUAUUAUUAUUAUUAUUAUUAUUAUUAUUAUUAUUAUUAUUUAUUAUUAUUAUUAUUAUUAUUAUUAUUAUUAUUAUUUAUUAUUAUUAUUAUUAUUAUUAUUAUUAUUAUUAUUAUUAUUAUUAUUAUUAUUAUUAUUAUUAUUAUUAUUAUUAUUAUUAUUAUUAUUAUUAUUAUUAUUAUUAUUAUAUUUAUUAUUAUUAUUAUUAUUAUUAUUAUUAUUAUUAUUAUUAUUAUUAUUAUUAUUAUUAUUAUUAUUAUUAUUAUUAUUAUUAUUAUUAUUAUUAUUAUUAUUAUUAUUAUUAUUAUUAUUAUUAUUAUUAUUAUUAUUAUUAUUAUUAUUAUUAUUAUUAUUAUUAUUAUUAUUAUUAUUAUUAUUAUUAUUAUUAUUAUUAUUAUUAUUAUUAUUAUUAUUAUUAUUAUUAUUAUUAUUAUUAUUAUUAUUAUUAUUAUUAUUAUUAUUAUUAUUAUUAUUAUUAUUAUUAUUAUUAUUAUUAUUAUUAUUAUUAUUAUUUAUUUUAUUAUUAUUAUUAUUAUUAUUUAUUAUUAUUAUUAUUUAUUAUUAUUAUUAUUAUUAUUAUUAUUAUUAUUAUUAUUAUUAUUAUUAUUAUUAUUAUUAUUAUUAUUAUUAUUAUUAUUAUUAUUAUUAUUAUUAUUAUUAUUAUUAUUAUUAUUAUUAUUAUUAUUAUUAUUAUUAUUAUUAUUAUAUUAUUAUUAUUAUUAUUAUUAUUAUUAUUAUUAUUAUUAUUAUUAUUAUUAUUAUUAUUAUUAUUAUUAUUAUUAUUAUUAUUUAAUUAUUUAAUUUAUAAAAAAACAGUGUUAUCUCUUAAAUCGUAAUUUUAUUGUUUAAUUUAUUUCGUUUUUAAUAAAAUUAAUUAUCUUUUGAUAUUUUAAUGGUUUUUUCUUUUAACUUUAUAAAUUUUGAUAUUGUAUAGAUUCAAUUUUCAAAUGUUUUAUUUUGUUACAAAAGAAAAUAUUUAGUAAUUUCAAAUUCAUGAAAAUUAGAAAUGAUUUGUUAUUAAAAAUAAAGGUAAUAAGAGAUGAAAGGACAAAUUUAAGGAUAUGGUAUAAAUCAAUAAUAAACCGAUUGUGUGUACAUGUGUGUGAUUGAAAAAUAAAUGUAAAUCAUUUUUUUUAAUUUUAUAAAAAUAAUUUUACAAAAAAAAUUAUUUUUUUUGUGGAUUUUGUUAUUUUAAACAUUUAAUAUUGUAACAUUGUACCCUUUUACAAGUUCAAAAUUUUGCUUAAAAUAUAUACAAAAGGGAAUUUAAAAGCAUAUAUAUAUAGAGAGAGAGGUAAAUAGAUACAUAGAUAGAGCAAUAAAAAUAAAAAUAAUAAAAUAAUAAAUAUAAUAAUAUUAUUAUUAAUACUAAAAAUAAAAUAAUUAUAAUUAUAAUAAAAUAAUAAUAAUGAUAAUAAUUAAAAAUAGGGUUUUUAACUCAUAUAGUCUAAUUUACCCGAGGAUAUUAAAAAACACAAAUUGCUAAUACUUUACACAAAUGUAUCAAAUGGGCCACAAUAUUACAUAAAAUAGGCCCAAAUUACAAAUAUACUCAUAUGAUAGUUUUUUCACACAAUAUACAGAAUUAUUUUAAAAUAGAAAAUCGGAGAAGAUCGUGGGUCAUUAAAAUAGAAAAGUGGUGGAAAGGUUUCUCACUUUCUCACCACUUUCCAUAUUCAAAAAAAUCAAUUCAAUUUCGACAGUGAAGAAAUUAUUCGAUGAUUCUGUUUUCGACUCAAAGAAUAAGGGUUUCAUCGAUUUCGACAAUGAAGUGGGAUCCGUUUUCGGCGACCAGUUCUCUAUUUACCGACGGACGAAAAAUACGAGGUUAGAUUGUAUAUAUUCAAUAAACAGUAUACAUUUUGUAUAUUACAUAGAUUAAAGAUAUUAGUCUGAUAAGGCAACGAAAAAAAAUGAAAUUUUGCAUUUGUUAUAUCCUAGGUUUUAUUGAGGUUUCGAAGUGAAGAGGAUCGUCGCAUGAGGGUUUUCCUAUAGAUAUUGGGUAUAUCUUAAAUGUUCAUUUAGUAUAUGUUGAAUGUUCUAAUUGUUGAGCAAAUGCAAAAAUGUAAUUUUUAUUGUGACAUACUCUUGUGUUUAUUGAGAUUAUGAGUUUUGGGGCUCAACUGAAAUGUAGUUUGAGUUCAUUUGGUACUCUAAGUUUCUUUAACUUAUUUGACAAUGCAACGUGCUUUACAUAUGUUAAAUGCUGGCAGUGUAAAAAAUGGUAAGACGAAGUGAAAGAUGUCUUGGGUCUAGGAUGAAAAAAUCAAGAACAAACGAAGAUAAUUCAAUCCUUCUCGAUGAUUAUGAGGUAUAUUUAAGAUUAAUUGUUAUAAUUUGUUACUUUGUUGAUGUUUGAUAUGCAAAUAUAUUUUAAUUAUAUUGUAUUCAUCUAUAUCAUAGGAUGAAAAGAUAUCAAGUUCUCAAGAGAUUUAUGAAGAAAAUCAAAUGGAUUACAAACAUAUACAAACAGUGUACCCAGGUGAGGAUGAAUAUGAUAUAACAGGACCAAAUGACACUCAAAUUGUUCUGUACGAUGAAAACUUAGCAAGUAAAAGAAAAAUAAAGGUAGAAAUGCCAGUUCAGAAAUUGGAUGCACAAGAAACAGAGGUUAGUUAAUUGUUGUAUAUAUUUUGUAAACCUAAUGUUAAGAGAGUUUAGUUAAUAUGUAUGUAUAUAAACAUUGUUGUAUAUAUUUUAUAAAAAAGAUGUAUACUUAAUAGGCUGUGACAAGAGGUAUACUUAGUAAUGUACUGGUAUAUGAUGUUCUAUUAGAAAUCAGAAGGAUCAAAGAACACUGAAUUACCCGUCGAAGAAAGUGAUGAAUCUGAUGAGAUAUAUUUAAAUGGAAGCAAUAUCACUUUUGUUAUUAUUGUUAACUACUUAUAGGUAUAUUUGACAUAUAUGAUGUAUAUUUGACAAAAUAAUGUAUUGAUAGUUAAAAGAAAGUUAAUAUACAUAAAUGAAAAAGUCAAAAAGAAAAUCUCAGGAAUCUCAUAAAAAUAAGAGAAAGUUGUCAGAUGCAGACAAAGCGAAACAAGGACAUACUGAAAAGAAAACAAAAGUACAAGAAGUUUUGAAAAGAAGUGUAGAGAAAUCAAAUACAACAAAGAAAUCAAAAGUGCAAAAAGACUAAAAAAAAGUGUAGAAUCAAAAAAGGUAUUUUUUUUAUGUACUCAUAUAUAUCAUUUGAUGCAUACAAUGAAUUAUAACUGGGAUUUAUUAUAUUGUAAUAAAUAUUUAUAAUGUUAACAGAAAACAAAUAUAAAAAAUAGGACUGCAGAAAAGAGAGAUGCAAAUCACGAUUUGAAGGAUGUAUUUUUUCUCAUAUAUCAUAUAUGUUGUCAAAUAGAUAUAAUAUAUUCUUUAUAUGGUGGAGUAUAUUGUGAUAUACUCAUAUAUAUAAUUUUGUCCAUCAUCUAAAUUAUAAUUAUGAUUAAUUAUAUUGUAAUGAAUAUUUAUAUUGUGAACAGAAAGCAAAAAUAAAAAAUAGGAAUGCAUAAAAGAGGGAUGCAAAUAAUGAUUUGAAUGUGGUUCUUUGUCAUAUAUCAUAUAUGUUGUCAAAUAGAUAUAAUAAGGCAGAAAUAUUAACUUGUCUUAAUAUUAAUGUUUGCAGGUUGGACCACUAAUCCUGAAAAGGAAUAAAUGGUCUAGAUCAUAGAAACUUAGUAUAUAUGCACGUCUAGAUGUUAUUACAAACAUUAAAAAAAAAAAAAAAAAAACUGAAUAGGGAGCAAAUAGAGAUGUUUAGGAGUUCUCUGUUUAGUAAUUUCCUUGAUCUAAAAAUAACUAAAUUUCAAAGUCAAUUGCUAUUUCAUAUCAUAAGACGACAAUGUGCCUUGACCAAGGACGACGAACUUUGGUUCAACUUUGAAGGUAAUAUAGCUAAGUUUAGAAUUAGGGAAUAUGAAGCCACAACUGGUUUGAAUUGUGGUCCUUUACCACAAUUGAACAUGGAGAAACUGAAGGUUGAUUUUUAGGAAAGUAUUUCAAAAAUGAGGAUAUUAUAUCGAGGUCAAGGUUGACGACAUAUAUCUUCAACGACUCUAAGAAAGUAAAAGAUGAAGAUAGAGUGAAGUUGACAAAAAUUUAUUUCAUAGAAAACAAUUAACAACAGGGGUAGAUGUUGAGAUAGAUUCAAUAAAGAAGUCUAUGAAAAACCCUUCAGCUCUAGCAGUAAGUAUUUCUAGAUUUGCUUAUGCAAUUUUAGUAUGGGCAUAUGAAUGUAUACCACUAUUGAGUGGACCGUCCAUGUUCUGUGCUAAAAGAGUUGGUGAUAGCAAUUUAUGCAUGAUAAACUGGGUUGUUGACACACAUCCAAAAUGAAAGGAAUUGGCUGAAAGGGUCUUUGACACUAAUCGGGUAAUGAACGAAGUUAACUAAAUUGAAAUAUAUUCAAAUUCAAUAUGUAUAUAUACUAUGUACGCAAAUAUACUUAUGUACACUACUUUUGAAAUUUUAGUUUGUGUUUAAGGAGUUGUUUUCUGAUGAAGAUGUCGUGGAAGGAAGUAUGUUCCAUGGUACUGAAACCAGAAAUUUUGAAAAAUGAGAAUGCUCUAAAGAAUAUAAGGGUAUUAACACUCAGAUUCCUGAGUAUUUCCUAACAUUCCAGGAAAUUAUGUUGGCAAACAAUGAAAAUUAAAUAAGAAGCUGGACAAACUCAUUAGAGAGGUUGAAGAGAUAAAAAAUAAAUUGACUAAUAGAAGUAGUUCAAUGACUGAAGAAGAAACUUGGGAAGAUAGGGAUGAGGAUCAUGAUGGAGGAAACGGUGAAAGAGAUGACAGAUUGGUGGACGAUGGAGAAGAUGGUAAUACAUAAAAUAUAAAUAUGGAUGAAGAAGAUGACAUAACUACAAUAGUAAAUAGUGAAAAUGAAGCUGGAAGGGUAUGAUGUUAUGACUAGUAUAUGUAUAGUUAUUUUUUUUAAACACGUAUGUAAAUUAUAUAUUUAGUAUUGUGUAUGUAUUCUUGAUUGACAGGAUGGACAGAACGAGAGCGUAAAUGACAUGAUAUACAACAUAACUCUACUAAAGGAAGUAGAACAAAUAGAAAAAGAAGCAAGGUUAUUACAUUUCUUAAAUCAUUUAUGUAUUAGUGAUUUUAUGAAUUAAAUGAUAAACUGAAAAUGAAGUUUAUAAUGUUUAUUGCAAACCAAGAAAUUGGGGAAAAACAUAUUAAUCAAAGAGGAGCUGUGAAAACUAAAGAUGUAUAAGAAAAAUGUUCGAAAUAUAUGACAUCUAUUAUCUAUAUACCAUGAUAUUUUUUAGAUGAUUAAUUAGGAAAGAGAAAGAGAGAUUUUUGCUUCCAAACAAUCAGUGAGGAGGAGCCUAAGGAAAGGAAAUCAUCCAUAAAAAAUAUUUAGGUCAUCGUUCACAACCAAAUUUGGAUCAGCCAAGCCAAAGAAGGAAAAGUUAGAGAUCACCAAUCAAGGGUUUGAAGGUCCAAGUUUCAAAUUAUUAUCCCAAUGACUUUAGUAAUUUUAAGUUGAAUAGGAUAGAGUUAAUGUUCAAGGUUAUGUGAUGAAGAGAAACUUUAAUUUCUGAAUUCAUUUACUUGUAAUUUUCGUAAAGAUUAAUUGUUGUAAUUUUCGCUCAAUAUGAAUCUUAAAAGUAUAUUUGGAACAAGUUGUGAUUCUUAUAAGUGAUGGUAUGUUUUUUAUAUUCAAUCCAAUGUUAUAGCAAUUUGAUGAAGUUAUAUAAAUUUUAUUUGUAUGGGAAGGUGUAUGAUUAGAGAGAACAUAAUAAUUUGUUUUUUAUUAUCACAAAGAAUUUAGUAAUUUUCACUUGAAUAUGAUAUAGUUAAUGUUGAAGGUUAUGUAAUAAAGAAAAAAAUCAAUUUCUGUAAUCAUUUACAUGUACUUUUCGUUCUGAUUAAUUGGUGCACUGCAAUCACAAAGACGUAAAAGUCAUUAUUAUUUAUAUGAUGUAGUAUGUUGUUACAUGGUGUUCAUUGUUCAUGGAAUUAUUGUUUGAAUUAAAAUAAAAUGUUCAAUAUAAAUCUUAUAAGUAUAUUUGAAACAAGUUGUAAUUCUUAUAUGUGAUAGUAUGCAAUUUAUAUUUAUUUAAAUGUUAUAACAAUGGUAGUGGUAGUGCAUAUGGAAAUAAUAAAAAAUUAUAAUAUAAAAUACAAUAAUAAAAAAUAGAAAUAAUUAAAUUAAAAUCUUAAAUAAACGUAAAGUUAAAACAAAUUGAAUAAUAAACGUAAUUUUUUUUAAACAAUAAUAUAAAAUACAAUGAAAAACUAGCUAGAUAAGAAAAACUUGCAUCGCUUUCUGUUAUGCCCAUAGCGCCCACAACGGCCACAUUUUAUCAGUCUCUUGAACUCCAAUUUAGAAGGGAUUCUAAUCUUCUUGGGUCUAAUGGACGUUUUACAUUAGGUGACAGGAUGUCAAUGGAUAAAACAUCAUCAGGUACUUGUCAUUGUCGAUGAUCACCUAACGGGUUUAUUAAUUCUUUAUAGAUUGAACUUAGUGUGUUGUUCAAAUAAUAAUGUGAAACAAACGGUUUUAUUGACAAAUAUUUUACGGUAAGAACAGUGCAUGCAUGCGCACAAGGUAUUUGCAAUAUAUCUCACAUCCUACAAGUACAAAUCUUCGAAGGCAAGUACACAACAUAUUGAGAUGUGUCAUGGAUGACCUAGUAUUUCAUAUUGUUGACUGGAUUGACCUACAUAGAUAAUUACAUGUAGAAGAUAAUUAGGUAUAUAUUAGAUAAUAAGAUGUAUAUAUUAAUAUAUAUUUAGAUUAUAAGUUAAAUAUACCUCCAUAGAUCGACUAUUUUCAAUUUGUUUCCUUAUAAUACCUUCAACAAUUUUUGUAAAAUCUAUAACUUGAUAGGCUGCUUCAUUUCUACGAUAAAAAAAUCACAUAUGCAGCAUCAUUCUCAAUACCUCAAACAUUGAACAUAUUGACAACUCCCUAGCCUUGAUAAUUGCAUUAUUUAGAUUCUCAGAUAUGUUGGUAGUCAUGACAUUAUAUCUACUAAGGGGUGAGUAGGCACGAGACCACCUUGAAAAUCCAAUCGAUUGUAACUCCUCACGUAUACCAAGUGCAUUAGAUUCCAACAAACGCAUUUGUUGUUCAAGAUCAACAACAUUGUAAGUCUUGCCACAUGCAUGGAACACGAUAUCAACUAUUGAUCUAUAGUUCAACUUCAAGUUCCUAAGUAAAUGAACCAUACACAUGCAAUGUAGAACAUUGGGAAAUACUACCUCUAUCGCUUUACAUAUACUUUUAUGUCGGUCAGAUACUAUCACAAUGUCAUUCCUACAACCAAUGAUUCACUUUAGUUGAUUGCAAAACCACGUCCAAGAGGUAUCAUUUUCAGAAUCGACAACACAAAAUGCUAGUGGUAAAAUUUGAUCGUUGGCAUCAGGAAUUGAAGCAGUUAAAAGAGUACCUCAUACUUAUUCUUCAUGCUUGUUCCAUCAAUAGAUAUGACUAGACGACAAUGUUGCCAAGCAACAAUAGAAGCAUAUAAUGCCAUGAAGAAAUAUAGAAAUCUACCAUCCGCAUCGACUCGGUAUUCAACAAUAGAGCCUAUGAACAUAACAAAUAUUGACAUUAAAGAACAACAAUUUGUUAAUGACAAAUAUAUUACAUAGGUCGUUAGGUAUAUUAUUAAUAUACUUGGAUUCUUAAGAUUCAACAUGUAUGCAAAUUUGGCGAUCAUCUUGUAGGAAUCCUCUGGAGAACCUCUAAUCUCAUCCAACGCAACCUCACGUGCACGCCAUACUUUUUGGUAAGAUAUGUUUAAGUUAUGUUCAACACGAACAUAAUGAACUAUAUCUUUAGGAGUGGACAAUUCUGAACCAGCUAACUGAUUUUGUUCUUUAUCAAGUCCUUAAUAACCGUAAAGGUAGCUUGUCUAUGGUCUGUAAGUGGAACAUCGACUGAACAUGUAUGCUCAGAAUCGAACCUAGUAAGAACCCAUAAUGUCCUAUCACCAUGAUAGCAACAAGAAGCACACAAUGACCAUUGACAAUCUUCAAUUACACACUGCAGAAUCAAGACCUACUAUUUGAUUUUACUGUAACGUAUUGAAAGUUAUCUCUAAGGGCAAUAGCUUGAACAGACUGUUUCAAUAAAGAUUUGGUUGAAAACAUGUCUUGGUGUUUUAGUGAAAAGUUGGAAUCUAUCUUAGACAUAUCUAUGGUUUAAAAAAAAAUGACCCACAUCUGAAUGGAUUUCAGUUUGAAAUGAACUUGAGGACGAUGGACAAAAAGAAAUAGCUAAAACACCAACACAAUAAACAGUAAGGGCAAUAUGUUGUUCAACGUUCAAUGUUAUUAUAUGGUAAAUCCAUUUAACAUCGUUGUCAUUCUUUAUUCUCAUAUAUUUUUUAAGACAUUUCUAUAGGAUCUAAGCAAAGGUAUAUCUCAAAAUUGUUCAUAUCAAUGAAACUACCUAACUUAGAUCUAAGGACAUUGGACAAUACAGUAUAUGACAAAUGUUCAUCAACUAUUAUUUCAGACACACUGUAACUAACGUAAUUGUUAGUUUCAUUGAAAAAACCAUCGAAAUAGACUGCAAUACUGGUCAUCCUGACACACAAAUAUUACAAUAUAGGUUAUUAUAAAGUAUAAUUGUAAAUAGUAUAUGGUAUAUAUUAUAUAAAACAGCAUCUAAAAGUAUUAUAUCUCACAGGUAAUAUAUAAAACUAAUAUAAAUGUAAAUAAUAAAUCACAUAUACAAAGUAUUCUAUAUUAUGAUAAUAUUAUAAAAUUAGUAUAAUUAUAAAUAAUAUGUGGUAUAUAUUUACUAAAUCACAUCAGGAAACCAAUAUAAUGAGGGGUAUAUCGUUAAAAUAUACGAUAUAUACACAAAUGAUAUACUCUUAAUGAUCUAAUCAUGUAGUUAUGGUGUUUAACUAUUUAAUUUUAAAUGGGUAAAAGAACUGUUGGAAUUUUUUGUCCUAAAACUCGUAGUUUGUAAUCAUAUUCUGUUCAAUAAAGUUGUUAUUGAGAAAUUAAAUAUUAUAAUCCUAAAUCCAAUAAAUCAAGUUCCAAGGCUAUUUUUUGAAUAAACUUGAACUUUAUGUGUAAACAUAAACGUGGAUCAAGUUCGAGUAUAUAUAGUCUAAAUAGUCUAUAGUAUAUGAAUAAAGGUUGGGCGCCAUAUUUAGAGAAACUAUGGAUGCGGCCCACUUUGUAGUACAAACGAGGUGAUCCUAAUCGUUCAUGUAGAGACAUGAAAGUGGGGGCAUCCUAUGUAAAGUGUUUACAUAAGACUGAACCAUGAAUUAGUCUUUUUUACGUUAUAACACCGUUUACUGUUUAAAACUGACUAUCUCGAUUAUUGAUGACCUAGGUAACUUAAUCUUAAUCCUGAGUUAACUAUGAACUCCUGUUCACACGAGAUUAUCCUUAGAUCUGCAUAGGUGAGGGCAGCUCAUCAGCGUUGGCCCAAUAAGCCUCCCAUUUCAGGGGUAAGAUCGGGUGGAUAGCUGGAAACAUAGGGUACAAGAUGGAAUUCACUCCUACUCGCUUUAUGGUUAGUAGAUAGAUUGUUCUCUUAAGCACUGAAUCCAAGUCUUGAACAAGGGGCCUCACCCUCUCAUUAGCCCGAGAGGAAUUAAGUUUAUAGGUUGAACCUUAAACCAAUUGUUCAAUAGUGGAUUAGUGGGACUUAAGGAGCAAGAUGUAAUCUUGGGGUAAAACGGUAUUUUGACCCAGCCAAGGUUACGAGUAACCUGUGAAGGAUUAACUUACUGAUUAUGGUUUUAUCAAUUGGACACAAAUAUAUCUAUAGUGAGGGGAGUGCAACUACGGGACUUUAGUGGAAUGACCCGUUAAUUAACGAAUGUUGAUUAACUCGGUCUAAAAGAGUUUAGCUAGUUAAUCUUGAAUAGUUGGAGCCCAUGAUCUAUAGGUCAAUUAGGUUCCCCUGCUAGCUCAUAUGGAUUAAACUUAGAACAAUGUGAUGAAAUAAGUCGAAUUGUUCGAAUUGGGAGAAGAAAGAGAAACCGACAAAUAUAGUGAUAUAGUCGUCGGUCUUCUAAUUAGAAAUAGAGCUUUAUGUUUUACAUACUAUAAGUAUGAAUGCAGAUUCAUACUAAGAAGCUCGGAAUUGAUGGAAUUGGUCAAAAUAGUAAAAAGUCAAAAUGUUGACUUUUGACUUUGAAAGUAAAACUUUGACAUGCCUUAUAUUCAAAUGUGAUUUGAAUUUUGAAAAAAUGAAUGCAGAUUCAUGCUCGGGAGGUUGGAAUUAGUCAAGACGAACAAAAUGGUAAAAAGUAAAGGUUUGACUUUUGACUUAAAAUAUCUAAUGACCAUUUUACCCUUGGAUUAAGUUAGUGGGAAAAUCCAACAUUUUGUUGGAUAAUCCCACUAACUCAGUGAGAUAUGUGACUAUAUGAGAUGUAGACAUCUAGUCCACUAAGUUCCACUAACUGUUAGUGGAACAUUAGGUGUUGAGAUUUGGCAAAUUAAUUACAUGCAUUUUUGCAUGUAAUUAGGUUAUAAAUAGGGGAGUUUUCAAAUGGUUGAAAACUUUUGCUUUUUUUUUUUUUAUUCUCCAGUAUCUCAACCAAGAAAAAAACUUCUACCUUCCUAUUCUCUUUUAUCUCCAUUACUUUCUACAUCAAAUUGGGUCCCACAACCCGGUUCUUUGUCCAAAGGAUAGUAGUUGAGUACUAGUGGUGGUCUCGGUUUGAAUUGGUAAGGAGGUAUCACAGUUUUUUGAGAGCUUCAAAGGUAAUAUUUCCUAAAACCCUAAUUUGAUUAGUUUAGGGUUAAUUGUAUCAAAGUUUUUUCCGCUGUGCAUGUCUUAGUUCUAUCAAGAACAAAUGACUUAUUGUGGAUAUUAUCUUAGCUUAAGGUGAUAGAGAAUUGAAUAUGUCGGCGACUUUUAAAGAAGAUGCAACUUACGGUUAUUACAAUUGAUAAAACAAUGUAAUAAGAAGUUAGAAAUUUAUGAUUGAAUUUCUAAAAGCUUCAGUGAAAGACAAUAAUGGUUGCCGGCAAUGGAAAAUAAUAGGUAGAAAUAUAAUCUUGGAAAGAAGAAUAUAAAUAGGUUAUUACAAAUUAGAAUAAAAUUACACAUAUUAUACUAUAUUUUGAUUUAUAGUUAAUUGAAAAGAUACUUAAAAUUUGUUAUCAUGUUAAUCAAUCACAUUAAAUUAAAGAUAUUUUGGAAUUCAUAUUAAAUUCAAAUAAUUUUCAAUAAAAAAUAUUUCAAAUAAUAUUACGAAUAAAAUAUCUAAUUAGUAAUCGUAAUAUAUAAUUAAUAAUUAUUGAAAGGUUAGAAAUGUUCGUAAAAUAUUAUUUUUUCUAUUUAAAAAAAUAAUUUUUAAAUUAGUACAUUCAUACAAUUUCUUAUUCAAGUAAUGGGUUUAAAAUUUUUCUUAAAAAUAAUAAAAUUAAAUGAGAUAAGGCCUGUUUACCAUUUCUUUUCCUUUUUUUAUGUUGGUAGGAGAGAGAAAUUUUUUUAAAAAAAUAAUAAUGUAGAAUCCAAAAAAUCCACCCAUUUUACCAAAGUACUUUUGAAUCACACAUUUUACUAUUUUUUUUUUUAAAAGACACCCCAUUUUCAAAUCACACCACUUUUAUAAUUUAAGAAAAUGGUAAAAAAAAAAAAAAAAAAAAAAAGAACAUUUGAUAAUUCAUUUCGGUCCAACUGUAUAUACAUUUUGUCAACUUUUUAUAUAUUUUUUUAAAAAAAGCCCUGUAAUUUAACCUAACCAAAAUUUAUGGUUAAUCAAUACCCUGUGGCUUAAAACUAAAUUUUGCUAUUCAUUGUUUGAGUUCCUCUCAGUAUUAAUGGCUAGUCGUCCCUAGUCAAACCAACACACACUACCCCCUUCAUCUCUCCCUUUCCCUCUCUGGAAACUUAACAUCCAACACCUCUCCCAUGGCGGCCCUCGUCGCCGAUCUCUUCGCCUUACUCAAAAUCUUUCUCUCAGUCCUCGCCUCUUUACUCUACUCCUAUUUCAUAUCCUCAAAGCUCCCAAAAGGCCUCCCAAGGCUCCUUUCUCUCCUCCCAAUCCUCUCCCUUUUCACUCUUCUCCCUCUUCUUGUCUCCUCCAUCUUAUUCGCCGCCAUUGUCUCCUCCAUCGUCACUUGGCUCACUUCCUUCAAGCUCCUCCUCUUUUCUUUCCAUUCAGGCCCUUUAGUUUCCGACCCACCACUUCCAUUUCUUCUGUUCGUUUCUCUCGCUUUUUUCCCAAUCAGAAUCAAGAAAAAGGAAUCCCAAAAACCCAUUGAUUCUCCUAAAUUGCCUAUCAAUUUUCCGGCGAAAGUGUUUUUGUUCACCGUCUUGAUGGCCGUCGAAGAUUCUCUGCCCCCUUAUAUGAAGCUCUGUUUUAAUUGUGUGGCUCUGUAUUUCUUCAUCGACAUUGUUGUUGGAUUUUUCAAUACGAUUGCGAGAUGGGUUUUUGGAAUCGAGUUCGAAGAGCCAUCCAACGAGCCGUAUUUAUCUACCUCGCUUCAGGAUUUUUGGGGGAGGAGGUGGAAUAUAUUGGUUUCAAAUCUUUUGAGAUUGACUGUUUUUAUACCAGUUAGGAGCGCCAUGAUCGACGUGGCAGGUCGGCGGCGGUCGGCGGCUGUGGGAGUGUUUGCGGUGUUUGUGGUGUCGGGACUAAUGCACGAACUGCUGUUUUACUAUGUGAACCGAGAGUCUCCGAGUUGGGAGGUUACUGGAUUUUUUGUGCUUCAAGGAGUUUGUGUACUGCUGGAAUUUCAGUUGAAGAUGGCGGUGGGGGAAAAGUUUCGUAUGCAUUAUGCGGUUUGUUGGGUGUUGACGAUGGGGUUUGUGGUUGUUACCGCCUCCUGGCUGUUCUUUCCGCCGGUUUUGAGGAAUGGGACGGUGGCCAGAUUAACUGGAGAUUGUAGGGCGGUGCUAGAGUUGGUGAAUGAUCUCGUUAAGUUCGUUCUUAAAAGUUCAUCUUGAAAGGUUUGCUUCUUUUGUCCUUUUUUGUUGAAUGUAUAGUUUACGUGGUUUAUUGGAACAUUUCAACUAAACCUAUUGGUGGGAUGGAUUAGUAACAUUUUGGACCAAUUAACAACCUAAAUGAAUUUUCAAUCUUCUAUUAUCAACAUUAUUUAUUUAUUAUUUUUUAAGUUAUUUAUUAACUUAACAUACUUCAAUUUUUCAACCAUACAUUUUAAUAACUAAACUUUCCUAAAAUUAAAUAUAAAAUUGUGCAUAUCUAUUACAAAUUUUAAAAAUAACUUGAUAAUAAUAAAUAUAAAUUAUAAUAUCAGUGAAUUGUAAUAUAUAUUUUAAUUAAAUUGAAAAUUCAACUUGUUUCUAGUAAAUAGGUUUAAAAAGUAACCCAAACUCAAUUCAAUCCGAAAAAAAUAUUGAAGAUGGAAAGAGAGAAAAAAAAGAUUGAAUUAAUUUCUUUUGUUGGUUCAAUUAGGAGAAUUUGAAACUUUAUAGUAUUACUUAGAUUUUAAUGCAUCAAACAAAAAGAAAAAACUAAGAAGUUGAUUUCAAGUGUAAUGCAUGCGUGCAAAUAUCCUUAGCUUUUAAAUGUAGCCAAACGAAAUAAAUAUUUAUAAAUACAAUAAAAUAUCACUGAUGAACAUUGAUAAAUAACAAAUAGAUGUUGAUAGAUGUCUAUCGCUAUCUAUUAUUAUAAUUUAAAAUUUUAUAUUUAUAAAUAUAAUCUAACAAUUUUGGUAUAAAAAAGUGUUUGAUAGAUUUUUGUAGUUAUGGAAACAAAUAAGGACAAAUUUGUUUUAUAUUAAUUUCAGUACAAGGGAGAUCAUGAUGACUAAUUACAACUGCAUCCUUUCAUCAUAAUUUUGGUAAGUGGUUUAUUUAACUAAAUAUUUUAUUAUUCAACUAGUGUUAUGACUUUAUUCAGCAAUCUUCUAUUAUUUAUGAUUUUAAUGAAGUUAUUAUCAGAGCUUAGAAGAAAUUAUCAUUUUUGAAAUGUUUGAAGUAAUUUCAUGAUUGUUUGUGAACUUUGAAAUGAUUUAGGUUCUCAAUUCGAAGAUGAGCAUGAAAUGUUUGAAGGAAAACAUGAUAAUAAAGUUUACGAAACCACAAGAUUUGCUUAAGAUGAUUUCUUAGGUUCAUGCACAUCAAGUAUAUAUAUCCUAACAUAGAUUCGAUAUAUAUAUAAGAUUUUGAGAUCCACUAGUUUAACGUAUACAUUUAAACUUUGAGAAAUGUGUAUUUGGUUUUUUGAAACUAUUACAUACGUCAAUACAUAGAAAUUACUUGGUUCAUGACAUGACUAGUGAUUAAUGCAUCAUAAGACUUAUCAAUUUGUAUAGUAUAUGAUUAGGAUAUUGAUAUACCAUGCGUAAUUAAGUCUUUUAUGUGUUAAGUUUAACUAUAAAUUUGAGUACGUGGUGAUUUAUUUUAUCAGCAUUUAUGUAUUUCAAGAGAUGUUUUUAUAAAAAAAUUAUAUGUUUUAAUCGUCUUUUAGAGUCCCGAAAAUUUUUCAUGAUUCACAUUUUUUUAAAAAAAAUAUACAUUGGAUCAAUAGGUACAACGAGACAUCUCCACUAGGUGGACACCUCCUUAGUACUCUCAUAAUUUCCGCUUCAUUAAUAAUAUGAAAAGUUAGAAUAGGAAGCAAGAAAUACAAAAAAUGCUAGAGAGUAGCCUAUGAGACCCGAAACCUCGAAGCCCCGAUGAAAAACAUUAAAAUACAUUGAGGUUUAAAAUAAUACUACUAGUAAAAUAGUUUUUGAAAAUGGGAGAGUGACUAGUCCAUAAUCUAGUGUGGGCUUGUAUAUAUUCCCAUAAAGCAAGCAGAGAUUUUUUUUCUCCAUUCAAAAUUCUCUUGUUUCUUUCUAACCAUAUAGACCAGAGGGUGACGACCGCCAUGUUUAAGUGGAUAACCUGUUUUUUCGACUUAAGUCUAUUUCUAUAAAUGUAAUUGCACAGGUAGAGCAGUAUUGUCAAAGUUGUACUGAUGAUUUAGAAGAGCUCCAACCUUUUCCCAAAUGUCUUUGUUGCAAGGAUAGCUACAGAAUAGAUUGUUUUUGUUUUCUUCACUAGUUUUGCAGAGAACACACCAGGAUGGGUUCAAGUAUAUUUAGACAGGUGGUGGUAGAUUUCCACAUGCUUCACAUUGCAUAAAAGAAUUUUGAAUUAGUGUUGAGAAUGUGAAAAACUUUCGAUUGAGAUUAUUUUCUUAUGAACUAUUGCCACUUGUUGAGUUUGUUGACUCAUUUUCUUUACUGUAUUUUUUUUUCCCACCAGGUAGCACACAAGAGUAUCCAAUGGGCAUACUAAGAUUGAUAACACUGCCAGCACUCUAUUGCACGUUAUAUUUCAAUUUACAUUAUGGAUUAAGUAAUUUGUUUUAUGUCUGUCUUUGAAACUAUAUAUUUGUGACAAACCUUAAGUUUACAGCAAUGGUUUAUAGAUUAUAACUUCAAUAAUUUCUUGUUUAUAAUCAAUUUUACUACUACAGUGUAGCUUAUGGAUUUUCUGAACUUGGCCAAUGAAACAUGUACUGCGAUUCGACCCACUAGAUGGUGGAGCUAGCUGUGAAACAAAUUGUUUAGAAGUGGUUCGUUCUAUUUGAUUUUAUUUUUUCUUAGAUUUUGUUUUAAAAAAUCAUUACUAGUACGUUAAUCGGCUAAAAAAACAUAUAUUUUGAUUUGAUAAUGCUUUGUUAAGUUGAAAUCUAUUCACAUUGAACAUCCCAACUUAAAUUUAGAAUAAUUUGGGACAAAUGUGUUGCAUGAUGUAGUUUAAGGUGGUGUUAUUUUUGCUAUAGUUAGGUGGGUUUGUCUACAUUUGCAAGCCACCUAUUAAAUAAUGAUCCUAACUUUAAACCUUUAGAUUCACUAUGUUCAUGAAUAUGUGUGUUCGUACGAGAUUUUCGGAGAAAUUUAAUUCGUGGACUUGAACUUGAGUUGAUGUUGUAUUUUUGUUGAUUUGAUGUGAUACGGUUCAAUCUCUAGAAUUUGAUCCUCUGAUUCUCUCUCGACUGGAUGCUUCAGCUUGAUUUCACUAGUAGAAAAAUGGUCUACUAUGACAGUUGUAUAUAUCCCAAAUUGAAAGGAGAAAAUAAAAAAUUGUCACAAAAGCUAAAAAACCGCGUUUUUGGCGGAAAAGACGGAAUUUUUCGGAUUUUACUUUCCGCGACAGUUAUUUGGUGUCAUAAAAGAUACAAAAAAUAUUUUAUUUAAUUUAUUAAAAUAAAAUUUAUUUUAAAUAAAAAUUUAUUAAAAUCAGAUUUUUUCCUAAUUCUAAAAACAUUAAAUAAUUUAUUUAUUAAAAUAAAACAUCUCCAAAACUUUUUCUCUACCUCCUCCUCUUCUUCUUCUUCUCUUCUUCUUCUCUUCUUCUUCUUCUUCUCUGUAGAAGAUCCACACGUCGCCCCUCUUCGAUUUUUCCUCCCUUCCGCUAACAAUCUCUCUCCCUCUCUCACGUACGCCGGAAAAGACUAGACUUUUGGUCAACAACGCGCAAAAUCCCUCUCUUUCUCUCCUUCAGCCGAUGCAACCACCCAACACCCCUUGCACUGCUGAACUCACUGGUGAAUCUCAACAAUUAUUUCUAUUGUUUGUAUUUAUACAGUAUAUUAACUUCAAAUGCUUUCAUUUUACCCACAAUGUGAUAUAUUGAUGGUUCUUUUUAUGAAAAACAUCCCUCAUAGUUUUGCUUUUAUAUGAGAUAUGUGUUUGUUUUGUCUACCAUCCUAUUCAAUAUUGUUGUUUACAAUCAUUUUUCUAAUUUGAAUCUACAUUUUUUCUUUAUGGUUGGCUAUGUGAUGAAACAUUUUGGUAGCUUACAAUGUGUUUGAUGAAAUGCCUCAAUGAAGCAUUUUUGGUAGCUUACAAUGUGUUUGAUGAAAUGCCUCAAUGAAGCAUUUGGUUGAUUUUUUAUUGAUAUUUGUUCGUUCGAAUUAGGAAAUCAAGGUCAAGGGAGAUGUCAUGGCUAUGGGCUGAAGCUUUGAGAAAAAGAGAAUGAAAAAUGAAAUGUGAGAUUUUAAACUUUGAUAGUGUGUAGGGUCUUUUUGUUUGUCUAUGCAUUUUCCAAGUGAAUUUUAGUACUUUUGAUUUUUCUAUUGAUAUUUUGUUUAUGGUUGCUAUUGAGUUGCUUUGAUUGAAGGAUAGAGGGAAGUGAUUAUUGAUAAUUAUAGGUAUGUUCUCUCUCCCUUUCUUACAAUAAGGAUAGUAGCAACAAAAAUUACUACAUGUUCUAUAUUGAAAGGAAAAACAAAAAAAUGAUGGUGAAUUAAGAUUUAUUUUGUAUGGUAGAAUUUUAUUUGCCACUUACCAUGCUAGAUCUUUCCAAGAGGAGUAAAUUUGAAAAUGUCGAAAUACACCCUCUGCUUGAAACAUAAACCGCGAUGUAUGUUAUACACAUUGGAAAUGUAUGAAUGUGUAUGUUGAAACUUAAGCCUAUACACUUUCCAAGAGAAUUUAUGUAUGUUAUCUAUUUGGUUUUUGGCUUUAAGUUUUUGAAACUUAAGCCUAUACACUUUUUUUACCUCUACUUUUUAUCAACGUUUUUAAACUAUAUUUUCUUCCUAUGACUACCUUAUGACAUUUUGAAUAAUUGAUUGAAUUGAGGAUUAGCAUAAAGUUCUCUUACUUCAAGGACGUUGUCGUUAUUUGUUCAAGUAAGUAGUGUCUACCUCCCUACCAAAAUACAUAUUCAACUAUUGUGGUUUAAAGUAUAUUUUGUAUAAUUCUAGUCUCGUUGAAAGUGUUUUAGUCUAAUUAGUAUGGUAUAUUAGUAGUAUAUCAACGUUUGCUUGAAUUAAUAUCAUCCAAAAUCUCCAUAGUAGUUCUUUCCUUACUUUGAAAGAUCUUGUUGUUCCUUUCCAACAAUAGUGUUGGAAAUUGGGGGGAGGGGGGAUUAAGGGCUUUAUGAGAGUUAUCAACUCAACUUUGUCAAAUUGUCAUGUAAAUGGAGUACGAUUUAAUCAUUGAACAUUUUUUCAUACUUAGGGCUUGAAGAAUCCUCGAGAGAGUGACAAUGCUUGUUGAAUUUUUAUGAAAAUGCAACAUUGAAAAGGUAUUACUUAUGAGUAUUUAUGUUCAAUCUUAUUUUGUUGUGAUCAAUUGAGAUGCAUAAUAUGCACUAGAAAUUUGUUAAAGUGCUAGACUUAUAUGUUUUUUUGAUAGGGUUGGAAGGGCUCCAAGGUACGUUUUUAACUAUUGAAUUACAAUGAAAAUUGUUUGGACUUGUUAGUUCAAAGUUUAAAUUGAGUUUAGCUUGUGAAACUCAAAGAUUUCAUUUGUAUACUGAUUAUAUAUGUUGGUGUGGAAUAGUUUAUCUUGCAUGUACCUAACAAAAUGAUUAUGUUUGCUUGAUUAUAUUUCUAUUUGUCAAUUUUCUUAAAGGUUUUGAGUGAACUCAAGUUUAUGGUAGAUUGGGGUACAUUAAAGUUUAUUGAACUUAUUUUUCAUUGUCCCAUUACAUAAUGUCCUAUAUAAGGUGUGUAUAUAUAUAUCUUGUUAUAUUUUUUUAAUCUUUCUUAAAGUUUAUAAACCAUGGAAAGUAAGUUGAACAGUAGUUUCUCGUUAGCUUUUGUUUCUAGAGACAUGUCUUUUAUGUAUAUAGUUCUCUUUAGGGUUUGUUGAAAUUGGUUUGUUGUGAAUAUCUAUGGAUUUUAUGAGAGUCACCAAAAAAAAAAAAAACACAAUGGUUUGUUUAUCCCACAUUGUUCUUGUAGUGUACCAUUUUGAUCAAUUAUGUUAAUAACAUGUUUUGAAAUUGGAGCUUCUGCGUUUUGUUGUGUCGUUUGUUUAUUGAUUAAUGGUAAUUUGUAGUAUCAAGUCUACCCUAAUCUAUUGGCAUAUUUGAGGAGAUUGUUGAUUUUUCUUCCCAUGUAUUUUACUUCUUCAAGUUAAACUAAGUGAAUAAUGAAUCCCAUUUCAUUCAUUUUUGCUAUUUGGUAUCUCAUCGUAUUUAUUUUUUUUAGUAAAAUGAAGUUUGUUUAAUGAUCAACAUUGAAAAGGUAUUGCUUAUGGGUAUUUAUGUUCAAUCUUAUUUUGUUGUGAUCAAUUGAGAUGCAUAAUAUGCACUAGAAAUUUGUUAAAGUGUUAGACUUAUCUGUUUUGUUUUUUUUUUAAUCGGGUUGGAAGGACUUCAACGUACAUUUUGUUAAAGAAAAUUUGAUCUUUAUAUGGCUAGGUUGAUGAGUUUCCAAUUUCAAAAGUCUACCUAAAGCUCUAUUGUUUGUUUAACUCAAAGGUAAAAAAAAGUAAAGUAUGUGGACUUGCACCGAAUAGAGCCAUGGUAAGUUUCCAAUUUCAAAAGUUUACCUAAAGCUCUAUUGUUUAUUGAUGAGUUUCCAUAGAAUUUUGAAGUUUGAGAAGAGUUGUGGAAAUUUGGGACAAUACCACCCUCCUUACUUGUAUUUAUUCUCAUUCUUAUUAAGUUUUUCUAACUACGUUUCUUUGGUCCCUCAAGGAUAUGUCAAACUGUUCAACUUUAAGGACUACAAAUUGUCAUACAUGUAUUGUCGUAGCGUUUUUGUUGUAAGGACUAAGAACGACCCAACUUUAAGGACUACAAAUGGUUAUUUUGCUCUACUUUAAACAUUGUGAACUUUUCAUUGAUGAAAUUUGCAUACCUUGGACAUUUUUUUUUGAAGUACCUUUCUUAUCAUGGACAACAGUGCAAGUAAGCCUAGGGAGGAGGAAACUUCUUCUUUGGCCGGUCUCACAUUUUUCAAUGUAAUAGGUUUUAACUUAAGAGUAGAGUAUGUACAGAUUCUUAGAGCUAGUAUUGACAAUGGGAUAAUAAACUAAAUUUCAUCGAAGAAGAGUUAACCAAAGAAUAGCUAAUGUUUGUUACUAUAUUUAAUUUUGAGAGUUUUAUUGCAAGAAACAAGGGUGAGAGAGUGCUUUGCAUUCUUAUACUUGAAGCUUCGAUCUCAUCUCACUUCUUGUUUUUCUGCUUGUCAUGCUAAGCUUCGAUCUCAUCUCACUUCUUCCAUCGUGUACAUGUUUGAAGAAACCUCAACCCAAGUAACUAGGAAAAAUUAGUUUGUGGAAUUACUUGUGAGAACAGGAUUAUAUAUUUCAUGGUUGACAUUUUGCAAUUGACAUUUUGCACGUACAAAUGAACACCAUCAUUUCUAUUCAUGAAAAAUAUUCAAGAGUGGUUGUAUAUAUAUUGGUUUGAUGUGCCCUAAACCUCAACCCUAUCUAGUGCUUUAUGCACACAUACACACACACUUGAACUAUCUGUAUUUGUCUCUUUUUGUCUCCAUGAAUAAUGAGAAGCCAAUACAAACAUAUGAAUUCUCUGUUUGGUUCUCUUUCUCUAUCUCGAUGUUGGGAAAAAACUAAAUAUUUGAGGCAUUGAUUUCAGGAAUUGGUGCAAGGGUUUGAUCAAGAGGCUGCUGCAGUUGUUGGGGCAAGAUUAACUUCAUAAAAAAUGGAGAUGGAGGUAUUCUUAAAUGCUUAUAUCCCUAAAAAUGCUUAUAUCACUUAUAUUUAUUCGUUUACGUCACCAAUAAUUCUCUUCAACAUUUUACAUUAACAUUACUACAUGGUAGUCCUCCAUUUUCUUCUUUGUUGUGGUAAUGUUGGUUCACAAAUGUAUGUGUUAUGGAUGCUUAUAUUCAUGUUGUCUUUGUAGGUUCAACCGGAGUCGACAACUUCAUGAGUUUUCUUUCAAAGAACAUUUUCAGAGACGAACAUUCUCGGUUGGUCGUUUAUGCUUCUGCAGAAAAUCUUGUUAGAUGUAUUCUAAUGCUAUUUAAAAUAUUUUUUGAUUAAGGGUUGGGAUUCAGUACUUGUAAAUUGUUGACACUUGAUUGGAAAUGUACGAAUAUUAUAAAUUGUAUUAUAUCGUAUAUAUAUUAAAGUGUUGGCUACUUUUUUCUAUAUGGGUGUCAAUAUUAUAAAUUCAAAAUUGUCAUUCCCAGCUACAUUAUUGUCAUUCAAAUGGUUCGUAUAAUGGUGGAGCGGCAAGGAGAACCGGAAAAAAUUGUAGUAAAUUGAGAAAUUUGCAACAUAAAAUAAAUGAUUAAUUGUUGUCAAUCCGAAAACGAUGACAGUUGUUUAAUCAAAUAAAUUGUCACGAUUACCCUAUAUGUGACAAAAAAAAAAUGUCAUCAAUAGCAAAACAAUGACAUUUUUAUACAAAAAAACUGUCGCGAUUAACAUAUUCAUGACAAUUAAAAAAUGUCACAAUAAAUGAAUUCGCGACAUUUUAUUUAACCGUCGUUAAUUCACAAAUGAUGAUAGUUAUUUGUUGUCAUAAAAUAAAAUAUGACAAUUAUUUGACGUCGUUGAAUUCUGAUUAACGACAUUUAUUUCAUGUCAUAAAAUAACUUAUUGCGACAGUUUUUAAAAACUGUCAUUGAAGGACUUUCCAUGACUCCCGCUUCUAUGACUGAAAAUAACUGCCGCGAAUUUCGUUUACGAUAGUAAAUAACUGUCGUCGUAGACCACUUUUGUACUAGUGUUUGGAGGAAGCGAAGCACGUGAUGUUCUUGAAGUUGGAGCCUUGGAAGAAAGCUUGUAUCUUUAAAGAAGCUUCAAUCUUCGAGGAUGGUCGACUUCAGGAGUUAGGGAGUCUUCUAGCUCUUGGAAGAAUUCUCUCUGGAUCUUCUAGAUUCAAAAUUUUUCAACCCCUACAAAUGAGGAUAAUUCCUCUAUUUAUAGAGUUCACUGGUGGGCUUUAUGGGUUUGAACCUGGUUGGUCCAUGGACCAGACCCAUGGGCUCAACCAUAUGGACUUAGGUUAUAUUUAGUCUUUGGGCUCAAUUAAGCUUAUUUUUGGGCUUAAUUGAACUUAGUCUAAGUAAAUAAUAUUUAAUUGAAUUAAAAUGAUUAACUUAAUCCAACGAUUAAUAUGAAAACAUGUGGCAUUAUUAAAAUGACCAAUUUAUUUAUUUUUAUCUUUAAUUUGGAGCAUAUGUCAAUUUUAAUUAGUCCCAAAUUUAAUUAUUUGUACUUUUCAUCAUUAACUUAAUAAAUAGUUAAUGAUGUGGCAACUUGUGAUUGGUCUCAAAAUUUCUUAUUCGUGUUUGGUAAAUUGUCAUUUGGAUUUUAUUUUAGAAAUUUGUUUUAAAUUUUAUUAUCAACAUUUUUUAUAUUUUCAACGUAUACAUCUUUUGAAUUUGAAAUUACAAUAUGCAUAAUUGUAUAUUAAAAUUGAUAAAAACGUAAUGAAUAUAAAAUUUUAUUUAGGUUAAGCUGUUUUAAAGACAAAACUAAUAAAAAUAUUUUUAACAAAAUUUCAUUACACAAAUAUUAAUAGAUAUAUUUUAUCGUCAUCUAUUAACAUUUAUGAUUGAUAUUUUGAUAUAUUUAUAAAUAUUUUAGUUUAUUUUAAACAACCAUAAUAAUUAAUAUUAUAUUAUAGAAUUUAAACAUAAAACAUAUUCACUCGUUAAUAAUAUGCUACAAAGAAAUUAAAUUAAUAUUAAAAAUUAGAUAUAUAGAUAUAUCUGUUCAUCGAUCCUUCCAUCAUUUAUGUUUCGCGCCAGUUUUAGAAGAAGAGAAAAAAUCAAAUUAUUAGGGGCUAUGAGUUUUAAAUCCAAGUUUGGAGACUGGUUUUAUGAUUUUUUUUUGUGCUAUGAGUUUUAUAAUGGAAACAAAAUCAAAUUAGGGUUCAUGAGUUUUAGAAUCCAAGUUUGAUUUUUUCUAUGCCAUGGGUUCCCAGAUUCAAUUUCUUUCUUCUUUUUAGAAGCUAGUAGCAUGAUAAAGUGAUUUUAGGGGCUUAACAUUUUUUAUUUAACUUUAUUUGAUUUUAGAAACUCAACUUGUUUCGCUACGCUUUGCUUUAUUUUUGUUCUCUUCUUAUUUCGUGUAGAAUGACUAUGUCCGUACGUAGUUGAGGUACAUCAUGGUGGAUUUUCUGUUCACAAGCCAAAUGGGAGUUUUUGUGAAGAAUUACGCAAAUCAGAUCAUGGUGGCACUGCAAACUUUAAGUUUGAAUAUGUAUCAAAGCAGAAGAGAAGAAUGAAGGAGAACCCACUGGAAGAAUUAGGUUGUUUCAUACAUUCCAACGCCUAUACAUUUGUUUAUGGCAUGGAGUAGACCUUUUAUAGUUUUAGAUGCUUGUCAUUUGAAAGGGAAGACAAAACUAUUGGAAGCGACCCUAAAUAUCAAUUUUACCUGUUGGCAUCUGCUAUGGUUAAGGUAGAGACAAAAGAUUCAUAGAUGUGGUUCCUAUCUUUGAUAAUUAUACAUCUUGGUCUCAUAGAGUCUGAAUGUUGUAUCUUUAUAUCAGAUCAAUAAAGAUCCACUAGAUUUAAUAAAAUAAUUAAAGAUGUUAAAAUUUGGCAUGUUUGCUAUUCUAAAUUUUUGUUUUGUUUUUUUUUGUUUUUUUUUUUAAUAUAAGAAACAUGCAUGUAUAUUGAGCCAUGGUUAGGUCUAUAAUCGGUUGUGGAGUUACAUUUUUGUUUCUUUGCAAUAAACGGAAUGUAAGUCUCAUUGACGGCUUUAUUGAUUAUGCCAUGUGUGGAGAAAUCUUAUCCAAAGUCUCCAGAAUGUUCAGCCUAACUGAACUCCAACUUUUCUUAAAAAAUUCCAUAUAUAGUGAAACCGUCAGGUUUCAGAUACUUUGUUAUUUUCAAAGAAUUUCAAAGGAGUCAGAAUUUUCCUUUCAUGGAACCCCAAACACAACUGUGUUUUAGCAUUUAUUCUCGGAAAUAGGAGCCCAAUCAAGAUUUUCAAUAAACCAAUAGAAUUAGUGUAGAUGCUUUUAAAGGGUUCAAUAAAAAGUUUUUCAAUCUCCUCAUUGUUAGUGAUUAAAUUUCUCUAUUUGUUUGGCAGUACAAACUCUGUGAAAAAAGAUCGUGUUUUCAUUUCCUUCUAUACUCCAAAGACUUUUGAGAUUGGAGUUUCUUUGAAAAUUUGUGAACUAAGAUCCGCGUUGAGAGCAGUUCUUUGAAUAAUAUUCAAUUCAGUUAAUCUAUAUUCUCGCUCUCUGGUGUCAAUUUCUUUGACCCAAGUUUUUUUUAUCCUUUAGUGACUUUUUCCUUAUUUUUGCUCCAAUUAUGAAUUAGAGUGCAAAGUUGUUUUAGUCUAUGCAUGAAAGAAUAUCUAGCUGGAUGGCCUUGUUAAUCGGUACUUUUCCACUUAGAAUCAAUAUUUUUCUUAAACUCAGCUUCAUGAAGGAGAUUGUUAGAGAAAUGAAGGGGAGAAGGUCCCCAUCUCUAUAUUUUUCUUAAACUCAUACCUUUGCAAAUGAAGGGGAGAAGGUUCCCAUCUCUAUAUUUUUCUUAAACUCAUACAUACCUUUGCAUGAAACAGAUUUGGUACCAAACUCUUAAUUAAAAAGUAAUUUUCAUAUAUUUAGAAUUAAUUUUUAAUUAUUAGGUUUGCUUCACACACUCAACAUAGAGUUGUCUAAAGUUAACUAAAUAACUAUCGUAAACAUCUAUUUUUAGUUGUUACUUAAAUUUUUAUAUGCAUGUUUCAUAUAUGUUUAUAUAUAGAUAUUGAGAAGAAAAAUCAAAAGCAUAGAUAAUUGUUUGUUUUAUUAAAAAUUUCUAUUAGAAUUUUAAAAUUAAAAAAAAAAAAAAAAAACUCACACAUGACUAUCAACAAUAUUUUAUACAACAAUUCAAUUAGAUAACUUAUUUGAGGAGUGCUCUAUAAUCUAUAAUUAUGUUUAGAGAGGUAAGAAGUAGUCAUAGGCGCUUAAGUUUUUUUUUUCUUUUAAUUUUUUAUAGUAAAACAACUGGCCAAAACCAAAUGAUUAACAAUGGAAACCCUAAAAGUUAAAUUAAUUUUUUUAAUAAGUAAAAUUUAACGUUAUUUUAAGAAAUUUUUUUUUAAAAUAGUAGAUUUUACAAAAUAUUUACAACCUAUAGCAAAUUCUAUCUAUUGAUAUGUUAUAGUGAUAAAAGAGUAUAGUGAUAUAUAAUUCAAAAUUAUGGUAUAACUUGUAAAUAUUUUAAUUUAUUUUGCUAUUUUAAAAAGGUCACAUAUUUAAAACCUUGUAACAGUGGACUUGUUUUAUUUCAAAUUUUAAAAUAAAAAUAAUUGAAAAAAAAUUGUUUAUUUUCAACGAAAAUGAAAACCUAAAAGAAAAGGAAGGUUCCCAUUUUUAGACAUAGAAUUUAAAAGAAGAUUCCUUAUUUUAUUUGAAACCGGUUGAAUCCCUAAUAUUGAUUAAUUUAUAAACAUAUAUUUCACAUUUAAAAAAUCCAAACGUAAUCCAACCUAAUUACUCCAAAGGAUAUAUAUUUUUUAGACAAGAAACCUUCCAUAUAUAUACCACAAAAUCUCCAUUAUCUUGAAAUUGAUCAUCAGCAGAAAUAGUUUCCAUUUCAAAAAACCCCCGAAAAUCCCACAAAAAUAACCCUAAUUCACCAUCUUAAUUAAAUACACUUCUACAUCUCUAUAUCAAACCCUUUUGUACACUUCUUCAUCCAUUUUCUCUGAAAAAUGCUUCCACCCCCAAAAAAAGUUUGGAAUCGUUUUGCCUCUAAAGUCAUUUUGAAGCUCGGCCGUGGUUUCUCGAAGCCAUCGGAAUCAAUAACUCGAACGACACGGCGGUUUUUGAGUCGUCUCGGGUCUAGUGACUCCAGCGGAAGGCGGUGUUGCCGCUGCAGCUGCCACGACCAGCCCGAAUAUUGGCUCCAAGAUCGUCCGAGUUUUGGGAAUAAUUGUAAUACUAAUUAUUAUAUGGAAGUUGAAUUUGAAAAUGUAGAGGGGGAGGAAUUGGAAGAUGAAGCCGUGGAUGAAAAGGCUGAGGAGUUUAUUGCUAAGUUUCAUGAAUCUUUGAAGCUUGAAAGAUUGCAACAUUUUUGAAAACUUUUUUUUCCUUUUUCUUCUUUUUAGCCUUUGGUGGGUUAUUGAGAUUAGCUGCUCUUCUCUUAAUAUUUCUUAGAGAGAGUAGUUUUUGCUGCUUCUUUUUUUUUCCCCUUAUUUUCUUUAGGGAAUAUGAAAAUGUAAGCCAUAUGAGGGAUCAAUAAAGUACAUUAUAAUAAAAAUUAGAAUAUGUAUGGUUUUCCAUUGGGAUAGCAUUUUGAUCUACCAAAUCCUUUAUCUUUAUCUUUAUCUUCAAAUUAUUUCUUGCCUGCUUUUAUUAGUAAGACGAAGAAUUGUAUAUGUUUUAACUUUUGGGUUUUGUGAAACUCAACGUGUUUUAUUAGUUCUUAAUAAGAGUAUAUAGUGGAAGCUUGCUUUUCAUCAAGAAGAACAAUGUAGGGAGAAAAGUUUUCAUUGCAUUUCAUUUAUAGAAUAUUGUAGUGAGGAUAUAUUGUAAACAAAUCUGACAGAGUAGAGUAUAUACAGAUACAGAUUAUUUAUUUAUGAGCUAGUAGUGUGUAUAAAUAAAUACAAUAUUAUAAGGUGACAUAAUAUAAUUAAUUUUGUUUGAGGAGGGGAGGGGUGUUUUUGAAAAUUAAGGAAGAAAGACAGAAAGAUACGUAUGGACAAUGUGAUUAGCUAUAAUGGAAUUAGCUUUGUGUGUGGGAUGAAAAGCAUCCCAGAACACAUAUUUGUUGGCAUCAGAACAUGUAAAUGGAUUCAUUUUUGAGCACAUGAAACCCAUCUCAAAUCUACCUGUUCCACAGCAUGCUCUUCUUGAAUUACUAAACCCUGUGUCAAUUUUAAUUUCCAGAAAAUGGAAAACAAAUCAUAAUCAUAUUAUAUAUACUUUCUUUUGACAAUUUUAAAUGUUGUGUGUGUGUGUGUGUAUAUAUAUGGUAUGAAAUGAUUUUCUUUUAUUCCAUUUCAAAAUUAAAGCUUUAGGGGAUUUGAUUGAAACAAUUAAAAUGUGAUAAUGGAAUUUAAAUAUAUUUUUAUUAGUUAGUUUUAAUCUUAGAAUAUAUAAUUGAUGUAAGAUGUUUAUUGUUCUUCUAUAUGAAACCAAGAAUUAUUCAAUCCCUACACUUCAAAGUUGUUGAAGAACUUGUUAAAAUGAAUUUAUAAGAAAAAUAUCAACAAAGUUGAGAAAUUAUGUAUUAAUUCAUUUAAUUAAAUAAUAAAUGUUUUUUUGCCCAGAAAAAGAAUUAAAGUAUGAGUAGCAAACUCAUCACAAGAAAUUAAACUAAAGUGAGAAGAAGACGAAAAGAAAGAAGAUAAUCUACUUUACCUACUUAAAUCACCAUUCAAAAUUUGACAAAACUAUUUAUUUGAAUAACAAUUACAAAAAUUUAUUUCCUCUCCAUUAUUCCUAACGAUAUUUUUUAAAAAGAAAAUCGUUUUUUAUAAAUUAUCCGAAUUUGUGUACCUCUAAACUCUUAAGAGUUUAAAAAAUACUCUUAAACUUUAUUAACAGUUUAAAAGUACCGUUAAAAUUUUGUUUCAAAAAUAUCCUUGAACUAUUGAAAAAGUUUCAUACAUACCCAUGACAUUAAAAAAGUUUUUUAAAAAAUACUCUUAUUACUCAAAAAAAUCACACCAAUUUUCUUAUCAACCAAAAUAAAACUUAAAUUUUAAGUUAAAAUCAAAGUUUUAAUUAAAUUAUUUGACUAUUAACAAACAUAAAUAAAUGGAGUGCAACCAAUCAUUAUAGUUAUUGUUGUAAAUAACAUACAUUUAAUUGUCAAAUAAAAAAUAUUUUGACCAUUAAAACACAAUGAUAUUCCCUUUGUUUGUGAUUUUUGUGAUUUUUUUUGUUUGACUAAUUAUUUUCUAGUAUGUUUUAAAAAGUAAUUUUUAUUUUGGAACUGUGUGAAAUUUUGUGAAAUUUUAUGUUUUAACCAAGGAUUAAAAUAUCAAUGUUAAUUUUAGAGAAAUUUCAACUUGGAUGGAUAUUUUAUAAAAAAUUAUAAAAAAAUUUAAAAAAUAAAUUUAAAUUAUUAAUUUUCAAUGAGUAAACAUGUUUAUUAUUUAUAUUAUAUUAUAGGAAAUUUUUUAAAAAUAAUAAAUUUUACAAAAUAUUUACAACCUAUAGCAAAUUCUAUCACUAAUAGUCAUUGAUAUGUUACAGUAAUAGAAUCUAAAAUUUUGCUAUAGCUUGUAAAUAUUUUAAUUUAUUUUGCUAUUUUUUAAAAUGUCUCUAUAUUAUACUAGUGUCUUUUAUUUUUUGUGAUUUGUAAAUUUUUUAACCUAAACUUUUUGUUUUUAUUUUGAAGGCUAAGAAAUUUGGUAUAGAAAUUGGAUCAAUGAUAAUAUUUUUUAUUAUUUUUUCUAAGUUUGAGGGUAUUUAUAAAUUUUUUCAAUAAUUUAGUGGUGUUUUUCCAUAAAAAAAACGACAUUUUCUAUCCAUGAUAUUUUUGAACUAUUUUCAAAAGUUUAUAGACAUUUUUUUACACAAAACUCAAAGUUUAGGAGCAUUUUUUUUAAAUAUUUUUAUUUAAUGAAAUCUCAAAGACUACGAAUAAUUGAGUUUUUAAAAUGUAACGUUUUUGGUUCUCAAGUCUGUAAAAUUUUUUAGAAGUAAUUUUUUUAUUAUUUUAAAUAAUAACGACAUUUUAAAUUAUAAAAUAUUAUUUUUAUUACAAAAACUAUCUCCUCUCACUUUCCAAUUUUGCUAAAAAUAUUUUUUCAAUUUAAAAGAACAUAUAAUCAUUUAAAAUUUAAAAAAAAUACAUCAACAACCAUUUAAACCUAUUUUUAAAAAUUUGAUAACAAAAGGAGGAGUGCUUGCAAAAAUAUCAAAAAAGAAUUUAUGAUAACAUGACUCAUGUCAGUGUAUUAUCUAAAUUACAAAAAUAAUAAAUUUAAAAGUCGACAACUAUGAUUAUCAUUUGAUAUCACUAAUUUUGUUAUAUUCCUAAUAUGCAAAUAAAUAAAUAAAUAAAUAAAUGUUAUGUUUAACCUUUUAAAUGUGUUUUGUGAUUUGAUGCAAUUUAUGAUGAAAACUCAAAAACCAAAUCCAGAUUUAAAAAUUUAUGAUGAAAACUCAAAAACCAAAUCCACAUUUUUUAAAUCUUUUUACAGACAAAUGUCCAACGUGAUCUUUAAGUUGUGGACUAAAAAAGUAAUUUUGAAUAAAUAUUAUGAUGAUAUAGGUUCUUCUUAUUAAAAAAAGAAAUGAAAAAUAAAAGAAAUUAAAUUUGGAUAAGAAUUAUAUUCAAAUGUAGACUGCACCUAAUUGAUCUAUGAAUCUAUUUCUUUCAGACACACACACACACAUAUAUAUUAACAACUAAUUACUAUUUAAUAUAGAAAUUAAAAUAGAUUUGAAUAGGAACUCACCAAAGUAGCUAGGAUGAAGAAUCAUAUCAUAAAGAAUAUCAAAUGGAUUGGAAAACACAAUCUGAAUCCCUUUCAAUUCCUCAUUCAUCGUUUUCACUAACCCCAUCAAUUUGGCAUUAAAAUCCCUUGCAACUCUAUUGUACUUCUCAACACACUCACCAGUACCUCCAAAAAUCAACCUUGAGCUCCUCUCCAAUGGUAAGCACCCCAUUGGAGGGAGCCCCCCGAUCGACAUCUUACGAGCUCCGAGCGCAUAGAGCUCUCGAACAAACCCUUCUGCAGCUCUAGCAAGAAAAUUUUGGUAGUCUUGUUGGGAAAACUGAGAGGAUCUUGGAGGGAGGAGGAAGUAGUUUUCUAGGAAGUCAUUUGUGCCUAAGCUUACGAGAUAAAGGAAUUGGGAAAUGGUGUGGUUGGCUUUUGAUGGGCCAAGAUAGUCUCUCAAUUUCUUCUGGUAUUCUUUGUAAUAUUGGAGUUCUUUCCAUAGAGGGAUCACUGACUGCAUGCAUCACAAAAACAAACAAUUACAAGAUAAAAAGUGGAAAGAAACUAGAAAUUACGAGAAAUAGGGUUAGGGUUGGAAGAGGAGAAUGAGAGCACUUACAAAAACAUCAGAAGUGGCAUUAUCAUAGCCAGUACCAGCAGAAGCAAAGCAAACACCAGAAGCAAAAUGAGUAAUAUUAUAAGAAGGAUCCAAAUAAGCUGGGAUUGUGGGUUUGAUCCCAAAAGCUUCAGAAAUAAAAUCAGUAACAAUUUUGCCAUUGGAGAAUCUUCCUGUGGCUUUUCCUCCUUCAAAAUCACGACCAUAUGGUGCAAAAUCACUUUUUAAAAUAGUUGAAAUGUGGUUGUUGUUACCUGAAUCUACCGAUGAAUCUCCAAACACUAUAAUACCUGGAACACCACCACCAACCCUCUUAUUCUCAUUCUUUCCUUCAACUAUUUUCUUCUCUAUUAACAAAUUAUUACACAUCAACAUCAACAUCGUCAACAAUGUCAAACACCCAAGUUUUUCCAUAUUAUUCUUUUAUUAUUAUAUGAUAUAUCUAUCUUCUAUUGUUGGUUGCCUUUAAUUUCUUGAAUAUAUGUGUAUAUAUAUCUACCUGGAAUGCUACUUAUCAAAUAAAUAAAAUGAAAGUAGGAAAAUUUUGUAACGUGUUAAAUUAUAGUUAGAGAAAUUUUUUGAGAUUUUGAGCCCCUACAUCACAUAAAAAAAAAUUGAAGGGACCCACACUUCUUAUAGAUGAGCUACUCCUCUCCUUUCUAAUUCGUUUUGUAUCUUCCAUUUAAGCUUUGGUAGGCUUUCUAUUUGUCUUUGCCUAAUUAUUGAAUAUGUUUUUUAAUUUACAAACUUAAUUGGUACAAUUUUGAAAGUUUAACGCCUAAUUGAUUAUAUUCAUUAAUUUUAAAAAAAAUAUAUAUUUAACAGUUCAAAUAUGUAAUAUGUGUAUUCAAUACAAAACUGAAAGUUGAAAGAUGGAUUUGACAUUUUUAACUCCUUGCAUGAAAGUUUAGGAAUUAAACUAAUAAUAACGUAAUGAAAGUUGUAUUUUUAGUUGUAAUGGUCCAUUUUUGUGAUAUCUUGUGCUACUAAUUUUCUGUCAUAUUGUACUGAAAUUGAAGCUAUUUUUCUUAAAAUGGUGUCAUAAUUUCAUAUUAAUAAAAGGGUUUCAUUGUAAACAGGAUUUGUGUGUAACCAUUUUCGAGACACAUAUUGGACCUAAAUUAACAUCGUCUCAUGUUUUAGAAGUAGUAAUUAGAUGUAGAUGAUCUUUUAGAUGAAAAGCUAAAAGUAUUUUUUCUUUUUAAAUCGUUCAAAAACAAAUUGUUUGCAUCUUCAAAAAAGAGAGAGGAAAAAGAGAAAAAAAUGAAUAGGUUGUUGUUUCAUUGAGCAAACGGAAUCAUGAAAAUACUGAAUUUGAGAGGUUGUUGAUGAGCAACGUGGUUUGAGGCACGGAAACUGGGCGUUGGAUUUAUUAAGGUUUCACGUUUUGUAUGUGAUAUCACCCUAAGCCCUCUCACGCUACUUAAAUGCCUUCUUCCCUACGUCCCCCCUCCCGUCCCUAUGUGUAACAAACCACCGUUGUAAAUUAAAAGCUUGUGUUAUACUUCCAUUAUUUUUACUUUAAUUUCUUCUUUAUUUUUAUGUUUCGUCAUUCUUUUGAACAAUCUCAUGCUGUGUCAAUCAAAAUUAAAUAUCAUUUCUCUAACUUUUAUCGCCCAUUUAAUAUGGAGAAAACAAGGCUUACUAAAAUAUUGGUGUCCAUAUUUCAAAUUUAAAUUUAAAUUUUAUAAGUAUAUUGGUCAAAGAUCAAUAUCACGAAUUUGUAGGGUUGAUCUCUUUUUAGAAGCCUACAUGAACUUUGGUUCGGCAUUCAAAUUUGAUGCAAAAAUAUCCAAAAAUACCAUAUUGUCCUUAAAUUGCGCACUAACUUAGGCUCGAUCCUUAUAAAAUAUAGAGAACUCCUUCUAUGUGUCUAUGCUGAUCUUAGUCUUCCUUUUAAGAUUGGAAUUCCCUUCUCAACAGCAAUGGUUUAGACUUUCCCUGAAUCAAGAUUAUUUUCAGUAUGCUGCCAAUCAACGAUUGACGCAUUUGCACAACAAAACAAUGAGUAACAAGCAAAAAUACAAUGGCUGUAGAAUACAGCAACUCUUCCUCAAUGAUCAAAUGUGACUUGAAUGAUAAUCGGAAUCGGCUUGCUCAAUACCCACAUUCAACAAUCCUAAACGGGUAUCAUAACAUACUUUAAAUACUUGAACUAAGAAGGAAAAAUGUCACCCAAUUGAAAAAGAUAAGCCACUCUCCAAUAAAGAAAAGUAUAUCGAAUAAUAUAUUUCAGCAGCAUAAUUCCAAAUAAGAAAAAUAUUACGCUGAAAAGUCUUCUCCAUGUUAAAACCAGAUUUAAGACUUUGCUUCAAACAACUAAAUAAAACACUGCCUUAUAGAAAAAUAUAAGGCCAACUCCUAAAACAUACCCGCACAACAUUAGUAAAGGUGUUAGAAGUGACAAAAUAGUAAUUAGUUGGUGAAGGAAUGAAAUUCCCAUAGCAAAAGCGUAUGAAUGGUGUGCAAAUGAAAUUUAAUUCAAAAUUUAAUUCAAAGAAAACAAAAGAAAAGCUUAAUUAAAAGAAAACAAAAGAAAAGCCUAAACAUGCUUUUAAGGAGGAAAAAAAAAGGAAAGAAACUUACAAGUCUCCCAAAAGAAAAGCUUAAUUCAAAGAAAACAAAAGAAAAGCCUAAACAUGCUUUUAAGGAGAAAAAAAAAAGGAAAGAAACUUACAAGUCUCCCAAUAACUCUGAAUCGAUCUCCAAAGAACACCACACAAUUUUUCUCGUUAUUCUCAAGGUGAAAAUCAACCGAGAGUGUAUGGAUAUGGACUUUUUAGAGAAGAUUUUUUUAGAACAAAGAGAUCAUGAAAAACCCAAAAGAAGAGAAUGUGUAUCCAAUGCUACAAAAUUGAUAAUACUUGACGCCUACAACUUUGAAAUUUUUGACAGUUUUAAUAAUAACUAUUAAAUAAAAAGAAAAAACAUAAAAAAUAACCAAAAGUGAAAAAAUACAUUAUUUUUUAUUUUUUAUUUUAAAUAUUUGACAGACUAAAAGUUUCCAAAUUAAUUUUAAUUACUUGACAUUUUAAUAUAAUUUUUCUCCCUUCUUUAAGAACAAAAUAUUUUCCUUUUUUUUUCAAAUUUCCCAUUUUCCCCAACUUAAAAAAAAACCCUAAUUUUUUCAUCCAAAAUUUUCCUCAUCGUUUCUCCCAUCCACAAUUUCUUCAUCUUGGUCGCACACUUCUCCAAUCACACCCAAAAAUCCAGACGACCAUUCACCACACUCACCACGCCCAAGCAUU